This 61569-nucleotide long non-coding RNA is filed under the name Triticum aestivum (bread wheat). RNAcentral describes it as "long non-coding RNA (TAES_LNC002588)". Lineage: Eukaryota; Viridiplantae; Streptophyta; Magnoliopsida; Poales; Poaceae. The record is from RNAcentral.
GUGGUUUGACCGAACUCACUAGCUUGUACCUUUACAGUAACAAACUUUCUGGACAAAUUCCACGAGAACUAGGUUAUCUUCUAAACUUAAAGGACCUGCAACUUGGCAUCAACACGCUCUCAGGUUCCAUUCCACGAAAUUUACAUAAUUUGACCAAGCUUACUGUGUUAAUACUAUGGGGAAACAAACUUUCUGGGUUAAUUCGACAAAAAAUAGAUUACCUUUCAAAUUUACAGUACCUGAGUCUUGGUGAAAACAUACUCUUGGGUUCCAUCCCAAAUAGCAUAGGAAAUUUGACCAAACUCACAACCUUGUCCCUUCGCAACAACCAACUUUCUGGGUUAAUUCCACAAAAAAUAGAUUACCUUUCAAAUUUAGAGUACCUGAGUCUUGGUGAAAACAUACUCUCGGGUUCCAUCCCAAAUAGCAUAGGAAAUUUGACCAAACUCACAACCUUGUCCCUUCGCAACAACCAACUUUCUGGGUUAAUUCCACAAGAAUUGGAGUACCUUGCAAACUUAGAGUACCUAGAUCUUAGUGAAAACAUACUCUGGGGCUCCAUCCCAAAUAGCAUAGUAAAUUUGACCAAACUCACAAUAUUGUACCUUUACAACAACAAACUUUCUGGACACAUCCCUCGAGAACUAGGUCGCCUCGUGAACUUAAAGGAUUUGGAGCUUAGCAUCAACACACUAACUGGUUCCAUCCCAAAUAGCAUAAGAAAUUUGACCAAACUCACAACCUUGUACCUUGACAACAACCAUAUUUCUGGCCACGUCCCUCGAGAACUAGGUCGCCUUGUGAACUUAGAGGUUUUGUAUCUUGGCCCUAACACGCUAACUGGUUCCAUCCCAAAUAGCAUAAAAAAUUUGACCAAACUCAUAGACUUGUACCUUUUCGGCAACCAACUUUCUGGACACAUCCCUCGAGAAUUAGAUUACCUUGAGAAGUUAGAGGAGUUGGAUCUUAGCAACUAACACACUAACGGGUUCCAUCCCAAGUAGCAUAGGAAAUUUGACCAAACUCACAAAUUUGUACCUUAAGAGUAACCAACUUUCUAGCCAAAUUCCACGAGAAGUAGGUUAUUUAGCCAACUUAGACUACUUGAGGCUUAGCUACAACACACUGACAGGCUCCGUCCCAAACAACCUAGGCAAUCUCACAAAAAUCACUGGCUUGUAUCUUGACAAUAAUCAACUUUCCGGCCACAUUCCUCGAGAAUUAGGUUAUUUGGCCAAUUUAGAGUGGUUGUCCCUUAGAAAUAAUUCACUAACAGGUGCCAUCCCAAAUAACCUUGGCAAUCUGACAAAACUUUAUAAAUUGGACUUUGGCCAGAACCAACUUUCUGGGCCAAUUCCAUGAGAAAUUUAAAGUAUUUAGAGCUUACCAACAACACAGUAACACAUUUCGUCACAAACAGCCUAGAGUGUCUUGUAGAAUUAUCUUUCUAGGAAAAAUUCACAAAAAUUAUCUUGUAGGAUUAUCUUUCUAGGACCAAACCCCUGCGCCAGCUCCUCCUCACGGCGAUCGACUCCACCUGCUCCUCUCCUGCACUCGUCCUCGCCGAAAAAAAAAAGAAAAGAAAAAAAGGCCCACACCCUCGCCGCUGGGUCACUCCACACCGGCUCGCUCAGCAGCGACUAGGCUGCCAUCGCCGCGACGUCCGCGCCGGCAGCCCUCGCCCUCACCGCCGUCUUCAACUGCUGGAACGCCCCCAAGCUAAAGCUAUCGCUGUUGUUUGCUCCCUGUACUUGUCCUAAACUGGAGUCCCUACAGAAAGCUACGGAGAGCAGUGAAUUAGCGAGGAGGAGAUGAGAUUGCCUAAAGUUCCCAGGGUAUGAAUUAAUUAAUGAACCAUUGCGCACGGUGUCGUUACUUACGUUGAGUAAUACGGAGUAGAUUUCAGAAGAAUCUUGAAUAAAUAGCCACUCAAUUUUGUAGUACAUUUUUUCCUGCCUGAAUGUUUAUCAUCCUUACUCUUGCUAGGGAACUGAACAGGUGACUUUGGCGGGAAUCAAAUGGCCACAAGGGGGCGUGCACUUUCAGUAAUAACAGAUGCAUUUGAGAUGCACGGUGCUGUUGAAAUUGAUACGCCUGCAUUUGAGUUGAGAGAAACCCUUACGGCCAAAUAUAUAUGAUGAAGACCCUAAGUUGGUCUACGACCUUGCUGAUCUCGUACAGACAGUUUCAAUGUCCCUUUAUAAUUGUGUUUUGCAUUUAACUCGCUCACCUGUCAUGAUCUGCUCCCUCUAAUGCUACUGAGCUACUCUGUCUGGAGCAGGAAGGCAAAGCCAGUACUGUGGCGCCCAAGGAAGCAGCGGCCCAGUCACCCUUGCCACCUGGGAGACAUGAAGGAGAGCAGGCGCUACUUAUCAGAGAGGCUGAAACGUACGUAGUGUGGGUCUUGUGUGUUGGUUUUAUUGAGACUAAUGUACCUCUCUUCUCCUCACCUUCUCCCCUCCUCCUCUCCAAUUCCUUCCCAGAUCCUCUUGUAUGUAUCAACUCUAGAACUCGAAUUCCAGCGAAGUAUGGCCAUUUGAUCUGAGACAAAGUCAAUUAGCUAGCAGGAGUAUGGAUAAACAUUUAGACAGAGAAUUGACUGACAUGUACUGAAUAUAAGUAAUCAGAACAGAAAGACAAGGCAAGAGAGGAUGUAAAUGCACAAUGGUUCAUUAAUUCAUACUCCUAGUGUCAAAAACGUUCUUAUAUUAUAUUAUGGGACGGAGGGAGUAGUACCUUGGGAACUUUAGGCAAUCUCAUCUCCUCGGCUGUGAGAGUACUACCGGUGACAGUUUUUGAAAAUUUGGCUGUGUAUACAUCCAAAAUGUAAGGUUUCAGAAAGCUCAGGAGAGUAGAUCCUACACAUAGUCAUUUGUCAUAGAAAUGGAUGCUAAUCUGAAGAACAAACCAGGAGCAGGGGGGAGAGAACAGGAUACCUCAUCUCGGCCGACAAAAAGCGAAAGAAUGAUGCGAAGUGUCAGAAUGAUGUGCUGCCAGGAAACAGAGUAGUUACUAUCACUGCAUGCAUAGCGUGUCGAUAUCGUUUCCUGGAAUUGAGACAUAGAGAGCCAUGAGCAAUCAAUUGAUCUGCAUACACAUUAAUUGCUUUGGAAAUUCAGCAUAGGGCAAAAAGUUGGAAUCACCAAAAACAAAGAGAGCUUAGAUGGUUAGAUCUGGGCAGAGUCAACAGAGCUGACCAGGUAUGUUACUGGAUGUCUCUGCAAUAAGUCAGAUCAUACCGCAGAGAGCAUAGCUCAACACCCUGCAGGUGCAGGUUAGUUGAUGGCCAGACUUGAAAGCUCAAACAUCUAGCAAUGUAUAUAAUGCAAUAAAGGACUGGCGGAGUUAAACUUGUGUGAAUAUAACUUAUAUACAGAAGCAGCACAUGACAAAUCAAUCACAAUAUGGGAUUUUCAGCAAAACCAAACACUUCCGCUAACAUUAAUUAAUUAUAAAAGGACACUGAAACUGCAUGUACCAAUUUCAACAGCACCAUGGAUCCCAAAUACGCAUGCUAUUACUGAAAGCGCACGCCGCCUUAUGGCCAUUUCAUCUCCCGCAAAGUGACGUGUUCCCUAGCAGGAUUAAGGAUAAGCAUUUAUACUGGCUAUUUGUUCAAGAAAGAUGCUUCUGAAAUCUACUGACUAUAAUAAGUAACAAAAACGUGCGCAGUGGUUCGUUAAUUCAUACCUUGUGAACUUCAGGCAAUCUCCUUGGAGUCCGUUAUGGAUAACAGUGAAUUAGCGACGGACGGUACAGCGCGAGGCCCAGCAGCGCCUAAUCUUUCUUCUUCUACUACUACUACUCAGACGUUUCUACAAACUAUACACAUAGAAAAUUUAGGACAAAUUACGGAGUACAGUAAAAAAAUGCAUUGAAAAGAUGCCAGCCAUCAUCUCUCCCCUUUAAUUACUCAACCCCCAAUAAGCUAAGUGCAUGUACAAAUUAAGAAGACCAUGCGUAGAUUGUUAUUGGUCCUGAUUACCGUGUGAUGUGAGAAAAAUAUUAUUUUUUAAUUUAAAGUGCAUUGAAAGAUAGAAGUACACUUUUCUUGGAAAACUUUUAAAGCCAAAUGUAAGCUCUUUACUUGUAAAAGAUGUGUUACAUUAUGGAACGGAGGAAGAAUAUUUUUUGUUUUAUAUGCAAAUAAGGUGUUUUAUAAAUAAAAUAUCCAUGUGUUUCAAAAAAUAUUCACGUAUAUAAAACUGUUCAUGUCUACUUGAAAGGAAAAAAAAUUGUAUCACAAAAAGGGUAUCAAACCAAAAAGAUAUAUUCUUCUAUUUUAAAAACAAUGUUCUCGUAUGCCCCAAAAAUGUCCAUGAAUAUAAUUUUUUAUGUGUUAUUCAAAAACAGCUCCCCUUGAUUUUCAGAAAGAUAACAUUUUUUCUAAAAAUGUUUAUCACAUAUUUUAAAAAAAUUAUAUGUGUUAAAAAAAGUUAAUCUAUCUUGUGUGCUUAAAAAGGUUCAUCAAGUAAUUCAUAUAUAUUUAAUCAUAUUUUUUAUAAAUAUUCAACGUGUGUUAUAAAAUGCUCAAGUUAUAUAUAAAAGGUUGACUGUGUAUUCUAAAAAUGUUCAGCUUUUAUUUUAAAAAAUGUUCAUGUUGUGUUUAAAAUUUGUUCCUCGUGCAAGAAAUAUUGCUCAUUGUGCAUGAAAAACUAUUUGUUGUGCAUUUAUCAAAAGUUUCAUCAUGUAUUGACAAAUGCACAUUAACAAAUAAUUAUGCAUUUUAUAAUAUUAAAUGUUCAACAUUCAUUCGGGAAGUUAAAAUGUCUUUUAAAAAUGACAUCAUGUGAUUUAAAAGGUUAAUCAUGUAAUUCGUAUGUUACUCUUCUAAUUCAUAUGUUAAUCACGUAAUUUUUCAAUAUUCAAGGUGUAUUUUAAAAAGGUCAUCCGGUAUAUAUAAAAGAUUGACUGUGUAUUUAAAAAUGUGCUCACCAUUUAUGUUAAAAAAUUUCAUGUUAUAUUUAUAAUUUUUUUUCAACUUGCAUGAAAAACAAUUCAUUGUGUAUAUAUAAAAUUGUUCAUCAUGUAUUGACAAAUCUUCAUGUGUAGUUAAUAAAUAUUCAUCUUGUAGAAUUAAAUGUUCAACAUGAAUUUUCAAAUAUCAAAUAGUAAUUAAAAAAUGUCCAUCUUGUAUUUUAAAAAUAAUGUUCAUGUAUUUUAAAAUUCAUCAUGUAUUCUAAAAAUAAUCAUAAUGUACUUGUAAAAUGUCCAACGUGUAUUAAUAUGUUCAUCAUAUAUUUUGAAACAUCAUGUAUUAAAAAAUAUGUAUUUAUGAAAAAGUUUUAUAUUUUAUUAUAAAUAAGAAGAUAAAAUGUUCAACUACUUUUUAUAAGAAAAAUCCAUGCUAUUUGAAAUUUAGAAAAAAAUGUUCACAAUGAAAUAAAUGUUCAUGUACUUAAAAACUACUAGCCAUAUGCCCGUGCGUUGACACGGGAUUAACAAACUUAGACAAGUAGAUAUUUGUCGAAUCGUCACUAUAAUUUGCGUCAUGCAUGUCGCAUGCAGCUUAUGAGUGUAUUCAAACAAAUAUUAUCUUGUACAAACCCAGCCUUUUGGAUCUUGGGCACUCUUGGUGCACGCUACAAAAACUCAGCCGGAGAAUUUAUCAUCUCGAAAGGUUUAGAAUAAUAAUACUUAGAUUUGCAUGGAGGGCUCGCGCUGCCGCACGAAAAAAGGCCCCUACACGGUAGGCAUCUUGGCGAGCGCGGUCGGUGUGGAGGCGCCUCCUCCGCCUCCGGCAACAAGAAUGGAGGACCCAGUUAGGAGCCUGCUGAGAUCGUCGACGACGUGGACCUCAUACUUGGCGGUCGUGUCGAGAGCGUCGGGCGAGGCACAACGCGCGAUCUCGUAGGAGAGCGCGGCAACGGUGGGCUCGAGCGAGCGGGUUUGCGCAGCAGCCAAUGGCGGCCUCGUUGCAGGUUAGUGCGGUGGCGGCGGGGGGGAGUCGCCAUGAGAGUUCUGAUGGGGGACAGUCACUUACAGUGCAUGGCACUGCACUAGUCCUAGCAACGCCUAAUCUUCUCUUUUUCUUACAUUUUUGUUUAGUUUAUAUAUUUAUUUUGAGUAAAUUGCCCAAAUAUCACUUUUUUCAAAUAAAAUAUUCAUGUAUUUCAAAAAGUAUUUGCGUAUAUAAAAAUGUUCAUACCAAAAAAUAAAUAUAUUCUUGUACAUUAAAACAAUGUUCUAGUAUGGCCAAAAAAAUCCGUGAACAUAAAAAAUGUAUGUGUAAUUUAAAACAGUUCUCCAUGAUUUUCAAAAUAUAUAACAUUGUUUGUAAAAUAUUCAUCAUAUAUUUAAAAUAUCAUUGUGUACCUGAAAAUUUCUGAAAGCAUCUUUAAAAAAUGUCAUCGUAUGCUUAAAAAAGUAUCUUUAAGAAAUGUCAUCGUUUGUUUAAAGAAGUAAUUCAUAAAUAUUAAUCAUGUAUUUUAUAAAUAUUCAUGGGGUAUUAUAAAAUUCUCAUCGAGUAUAUAUAAAAAGUUCGACUAUAUAUUAAAAAUGUUCAGCAUUGAUUUGAAAAUGUUCGUGGUGUAUUUAAAAAUUGAUCAUCGUGCAUGAAAAAAUGUCCAUUAUGCACCAAACAUUCUUCCUGUUUAUCAGGUAUGCACAAAGAUCAUGUGUAUAACAAAUAUCCAUCUUAAAAUAUUAAAUGUUCUACAUGAAUUAUAAAAAAUUAAUGUGUCAUUAAAAGAAUGUUCAUCUUCUUUUUAUAAAAAAAAUCAUGUAUUUUAAAAUUUCAUUAUUUAUUUAAAAAACUCAGAGUGUAUUAGUAAGAUGUCCAACGUGUAUUAAUAUGUCCAUCAUAUAUUUUGAAACAUCAUGUACUAAAAAAUAAUGUAUUUGGCAAAACGUUUUAUACUUAUAAGAAAGAAGCAGCUAAAAUGUUCAAGUACUUUUGUAAUAAAAAUCAUACUAUUUGAAAUUCAGAAAAAAAAUGGUCACGAUGAAAUAAAAUGUCAUGUACUUCUUUUGCCGGGUUAAUUUUCAUGUACUGGAAAAACUAUAGUAUAAAAAAAGGUUUGCAUAUCAAAAUAAUUGUUCAUAUAACUGUUCAAAAAACAACAGAAAAGGGGAAAAGCAAGAAAGCAAUAUAGAUAGAAAAAAUAUAAAAUGGGACAGAAGCAGAACAAAUAAAAGGAAAAAUAAAUAAAAACAAAACAAACAGUAAAAGGAAAGAAAGAACGGAGGAAAUCAAACUCAAAGAAAGCAACAUGAAAAAAAGUUAAUGGAUGUGCAGGAAGUAACAAAAAAAGGACUUUUUUGAAUUUUGAGUGAGGAUAAUUGUCUUAAAUUUCGGAGAAUCGGCUAUCAGCAACCGCAAGGACUAUACCAGCCUCUGUUUUUGGAAACACGUCACCAGAGAACCUUGCAAGUGUUACUCGAACCGUGACACCAAAUUUUGGCACGAUCAAGAACUUAAUUAAAAUGACCUCGAAUGGAGAAGCGGUCUACAUCAAAAAGUUCCGUAUUGUCGAAAUGAACAUCUUUGAAGUUUGGUCCAUCGCUAUCGGAUCUCAUCUCUAGAGCCGAAACUAUACUCAAAGUACUCAGAUUUUGUAUUCAGAGUAGUAUUCGGCCAAUUAAGCCUCCAAGAUGGCCUCAUAUGAAAAACAUUUUUACACGAAUUGUCUUCGUCUCAUCAAAACGGUCUAUUUUAAUAUAAUAAUCGUCCCAAUCCGACUUCGUAUGCAAAAAUUAGAGUCAUCGGAAUGCAGUCCUAUCACGAGGCAAAACAUGGCGCGCCCCACCAAACACAUGUCUGAUGGGUAGCGCGAGUAACACGCUGUUUUGCGCGAGCGAUUCGGCCCAGAAGAUGGCCUCGAAUCGAAAAACGUUCAACAUGAAAGUUGUUCGUCCCGUCGAAGCGGCUAAAUUUGUUUUUGGGUGCAUUUCCAUCCGAGAUAAUUUGUUGCCUGUGAGAGCCAAAAACCGAACCAAUGUCUCAGACUUACCUAAAUCCGAGUUCGGUUAUUAUUGGAAAGAUUUGGGCGAGAUUUGGAGUCCUUUUCUGGUACGGAAAGUCCAGUCAUCUCAUAAAUAGAUGAGAGGUGAUGGCCGAUUGAAAAACAACACACAAUCGCAAAACCCAUCUACUUUUUACCCUAGUUUUACAUCUCUCCUUGUUUCUUUCUCUCUCGUUCUUCGUUCGUUCUUCGUGUUAAAGAGCAGCGAUCCUCGAGGCUCUAGGGGCGGGCGAACCGACCUAGGGCAUCGCAUAGCCACCGCGCGUCCAGACGGGGUCCCUUCCGAACACGUGGGGUUUCGGGUCUUCAAAAGCGCCCGCCAGAUUGCUUGCAUACCGCGCUUCCGGUCGGGUCUCCUUCGACGUGAGCUGUGGUGUAUCACGACCCUCGACGUUGGAGGUACACGAUGACGUGUUCGUGUGUGAACACACUUCUUGGCGACUUCGCUGGGGAAGAAAUAUCAAGAAUCAUCAUCAACCAUGUCUAAUCUACCCAAGCCCUUAGAAGUUGACGCCGAUAACAUCAUUAAGCCCAAUCUUGAUGAACUAUCGGAGGAACAUCGCCAAGCUUAUGAACUUUCAAGAAGGACCGUCAAGGCAACAUCACUCAUGUCGGCGCGCCACCUCUGCUCUGCCGAACCUGCCGCUAAUCACCGACAAGGAGCCCCCUGCCCUCCGCCGUCUCCUCCCGCCUCGACCAACCCCAUCCAAUCCCCUCCUCAGCUAGACAGAGGCAGCCGCCCACCGAUUGAAUAAAAAAAUCAAGAAAAAAACCAUGACACGGGUCGAAAAGAGACCCAAUGAAAACCUGCGACAAAUGAUGAGCCGUUACGCGCGACUGAGGUCUGAGGACACGCGACGCGCAGAGAUUCGUGAUGGUUCGAACGGACAGAAAAAUGACCUGAAGCGAAUUUAAAAACAGAUUUCUGAAAAAUAGUAAAUGUGAAGAAGAAAUGAAGUACGCGCCGCAUAGAAAUCAGAGUCGAUGGACGGAAGGUCCCAGUCAAUGGUGAUGUUUCCGGUCGGAUCAAGCGGGUCGUAGUGAGCUGCAAGAGACACGGUGAAGUGAAUUAGCAAUCGCGAAAUCAAAUCGGCAAGAAAUAGAGCACGCAUCAGGAGAAAUCCAAAGAAGUUCUGUAGCAGCGAAGCCGAAGCGGCAAGGAACAGAGCGCAUGCAUGCAUCAGGAGAAAACCUGAAGUAUAGGCGAAAUCAAAGCGGCAAGGAACAGAGCGAAUUCAUCAGGAGAAAACAAAUGAAGUAGUAGUACUUGGAUCAUAAACAAUAAUUCAUAAAUCCUAAAACCCUAAACCCCUAAACCGGCACUAAACCCCUAAUCCGGCCGCGAUGAACCGGGACUAGGNNNNNNNNNNNNNNNNNNNNNNNNNNNNNNNNNNNNNNNNNNNNNNNNNNNNNNNNNNNNNNNNNNNNNNNNNNNNNNNNNNNNNNNNNNNNNNNNNNNNNNNNNNNNNNNNNNNNNNNNNNNNNNNNNNNNNNNNNNNNNNNNNNNNNNNNNNNNNNNNNNNNNNNNNNNNNNNNNNNNNNNNNNNNNNNNNNNNNNNNNNNNNNNNNNNNNNNNNNNNNNNNNNNNNNNNNNNNNNNNNNNNNNNNNNNNNNNNNNNNNNNNNNAACCUUUAGUCCCGGUUCCUGAACCGGCACUACUUACGAAUCGGGACUGAAACCCGUUUCUGCACUAGUGAAGGUUAACCCAUCUUAACUUUGUUUGUCGUGGUAAGAACCUUAGGAUCCUCUGAUCUCUAUUUUUGGCUUUACUGUGGUGCAUGCGUGCCAAAUACUAACCAAUGGGUGCAUGCAUCUCAAAAUGGUCACACUCGUCUUCCAUAUGUAAGGAAUCCUUUUUUCUAUAGUUGCUUGCAACUUGAAGAUACUCACGUUUCACUAAGUUACAAAUUUGAAGGCUUGUGCAGACCAAGAUUCGAGUAGGACUUCUUUGGCCAGCUGCAAGAAAAAUCAACGAUCUGAAUUCCGAAAGUAUAGUAGAGAGAAAAAAAAAGAAGAGAUUCGACGUUCGGAAGCACCUCCGGUCUACGGUCCACACCACACCACACACGGAGUGCACAAAAUGAUAAGAUUGCAAUGUAAUAAGCACUCAUUACCAAACUGUAGACUAGAUGGAUUUUGAGAAUAUGAUUCGCGUGUAUUGCAGCCCAUAGGACGCAUAUAUAUAGAGAGGUAUAAAAGCAAUCCUAUACUUGUACUCCAAGAUCUAAUCCUAGUUAAAAGGAAAUGAUAGAUGUGGAGAUAGAGAUAGGAAGGUAAAGAGUACAUCACGUAUAUGUGCUAAUACAUGCUAACUUAUUCUUACACCCCCGCAGUCGAAGCGUCGUCAUAGAAGAUGCCAAGACUCGAUCAAAAAGCUUUGAAUGAAGACAAAGGAAGCCCCUUAGUCAUGAUGUCUGCAAGUUGAUGAGUCGUUGGGAUGUGAACAACACGAAACUGUCCCAAAGCCACCUUCUCGCAUACAAAAUGAAUGUCCAACUCAAUAUGCUUCAUCCAACAAUGAUGAACGGGGUUAGCAGAGAGGUAUACCACAGAUAUAUUAUCACAGAACACCACAGAAGCCUUGUCAAUGACACAAUGGAGCUCGACAAGAAGUUGACGAAGCCAGCAACAUUCAGCCACGGUGUUAGCCACCGCACGGUAUUCGGCCUCAGCACUCGAGCGAGAGACAGUAGGUUGGCGUUUGGAGGACCAAGACACCAAAGUGUCGCCGAGAUAAAUGCAAUAUCCUGAAGUAGACCGACGAGUGUCUGGACAGCCAGCCCAGUCAGCAUCCGAAUAAGCAGCAAUUGCAAUGGAGGAACUGCCGGCGAUCCUAAGCUCGUGAGAAGUACUGCUGCGAAGAUAGCGAAGUAAGGGCUUGAUCAGUCCCCAAUGAGUGGCAUGCGGAGCAUGCAUAUGUAAGCAAAUCUGUUGGACAACAUACGCGAUGUCUGGACGUGUCAAGGUGAGGUAUUGAAUAGCACCAGCAAUACUUCUGUAGAAGGUGGCAUCGGACACAAGUUCACUAGCGGAAGAGGAGACCUUGGGUUUUGUGUCAACAGGCGUGAAGACGGGCUUACAAUUGGACAUAGCAGCACGAUCAAGAAGCUCCUCCACAUAUCUUUCCUGAGAAAGAAAGAAACCACAGGCCAUGCGACCAACAUGCUUGCCACAUAUGUCAGGACAUUGAGAAUGCGGGUCUGCUAUUUGUACUAACUGCGAGUGUUCCCCCAGGUUUGCACUUCCGAAUGCGAGUGCCUUGAAGAGGUAGCUGAACUCCUCAUAUGUCAGGACAUUGAGAAAAUUUCUCCAUCUUUUUAAGCCUACUUAAGAUUAUCACUUUGCUUCUUCCAUCCAUGCUUGCCACAUAAGAAUAAAAUGCGGUCCAAUCCUUUUCAUCCACAUCUGAAUCAAUCUCAAUAACUAUCAAUAUCCUCCCCGUCCCUGACAUGGCACUUCCUCUAUCCGCUAUUGUAUAAAAAUCGGUUUCAUUCAAGCGCAUAAUUGAAGAGAAGUGUGAGCAUACCCUCUCAUCCUUGCAUACAUGCGCAACCAAAGUUUUCUUCCCCACCGCAAGCCCGCUAAUGAUUGGAAGAACGGCUGGCGUGGCAGCAGUAGGGCUGUCUUGCAAGAGGAAGCUCAAGAUCAUCUGCUUUUCAGAAUGGCGGCCAAACACAAAGUUGUCAAUGUAAAGAUACACCAUGAAACUCCAUGAGAUGUCUUGCCUUGUGUUUUCUAGCACUCCCAUGAAUUAUAUGAAGAACGUUUGAGAUGAAAUAAUGUGUUGCUAACCUCCUCCUCCUCCUCAUCCGCCAUAAGAGUCUCCUUGAGGGAUCCGUAGUUGAACGCGCCCAUCGCCCAGUAUCCUCGAUACAUGGCGUCCGUGAGCAUCUUGAGCUGUACCAGCAUCCCAGAGUUGGUGAUGUACCGCCCGUCCGCCUCCUCGACGACGGUGUGAACUCUAAGGAGCAGUCGCUGCAGCCUCUGCAGACGCUUCUCGUCAGAGCAUGCAUGGCAUGAAUACCUGUUGGUGGGGAAGGAGAUGAAUCGGGUCACGAGCUCAUUUGUUACUACAGAUAUGGCAAAUUCCAUCUCAGAAAUCCUCCAAUUAAACUGUAUGUGUGGCUAUUGAUUGAGUUGGAGAGAGGAGACGGGAGGAAACUGAUCGCUGAUGCAGCUAUUGAGUAGCUCUUCACAUGGUGGGCUAUCAAUUAUUGGUUGCACUAUAGAACAAACGUCCCUUUCGCCUACCUAACAUGUUAUGCGUUGAGUUAUGUAUGGAAUUGAUAUAUACGUUACGUUUCUUCCUCCAGGAUGUAAAUUAUCUUCCUUACGCGAUAGAUAGUCACAAAUUAAAGAAAAAGGUCCCACGGAAGCAAUGCUCUAGUAUUAACACUGCAUCUCCAAAGCUUAAAGAACAGCGAACAGCCACAAUGGUGCAAUCAAGGAAAUUCAGUGCAGCCUUUGCUGACUAAUAUAAGGCUGAACAAUUGGACUAUUAUACUGAUACAGACCAACCUUUUUGAAAUGAUGGUGAGAGCCAUUGGUAACCAAGAUAUGGUCGACAUUCUCCCUGGAACACUCUGCACGACUUUGGUGGUCAUCGGUCAUUUGCCAUGUUGAUGAUGAUUGACAUUGUCCUUUUCACCAGCCACUGCUAUCGAACAGUCGUCUGCAGCUAGGUGUCCGGUCUAGUUAUUUCAACGAAUGGUCAUUGCCUUGUUGGAAUAUUCUACUGUAACAAAGUUUCUGGUAUAGGAAAGUUAAGGGACACAAAUAAAAUCUUCUUUUGGUUGGACCAAAUAGCGAUUGUUGGAAUAUGAGACCAGCACUUGAAGCAUGCAUACGGCAGGCAAACAUACAUUUGUCACGUCGAAUGGUUUUUUCUUUUGAAUCAUCUCAGUCCAAGGCCAUUUGCAAAAUUCACUGCCAAAACAGUCUGACCUCACCAUGUCCAGAAGACGGUGCCAGACACCAGACAGUCAUGUCUGAUACAUGAUGCAAGUUAUUCUGCCCUCAAGAUUGACUCAACUGAAAAAGUGAUCAACAUUAAACUUGUCGGCAUCAUCGAGGCGCACAAGUUUGCUUUUUUGCGUCAUCUCCAUCUAGGGUCAUAUGCAACCUCCAAAGCUACUCGAUUGGUUUCGUACCGAUCGAUCGUCUUAUAUACUUCCUACUUCGGUGGCGCUGAGCUCACGCCACCCACGACCACGACAAUGCAGAUCUAGCUUGGUCAAGACCAUCACCGGGCAGACUCUCACACUCGAGGUCUAGAUGAUACCUACCACAAGUGCACCAGUGAUCAGCAUCUCUUGCUUGGCAUACAUAUAUUCUUGUAGCACCUCGUGCGCUUUGCCUCAUAAAGCCAAUGUACAAUUGCACUUUUUUUUAAUAUCUAGCAUUCCGAGGACAUUGUCACAAUGUAUUAUUGUUGUUUAUUCCGAGGAAGUAUAAGGCUGAACAAUUGGACUAUUAUACAGACCAACCUUUUUGAAAUGAUGGUGACAGCCAUUGCUGACCAAGAUAUGGUCGACAUUCUCCUUGGAACACUCUGCAUGACUUCGGUGGUCAUCGGUCAUUUUUCAUGUUGAUGCUGAUUGACACUGUUCUUUUCACCAGCCACUGCUAGCGAAUGGUGACGCCUCUGGAAUAGUCGUCUGCAGCUAGGUGUCCGGUCUAACUUAUUUCAACAAAUGGUAAUUGCCUUGUUGGAAUAUUCUACAAGAAUUUCUGGUAUAUCUUCUUUAAGUUGGACCAAAUAGCGAUUGUUGGAAUAUCAGACCAGCACUUGCAGCAUGCACACGGCAGGAAAACAUACACGAGCAUUUUUUUUCGAAAAGGGGGGACUCCCUGGCCUCUGCAUCCGAACGAUGCAUACAACCACCUUAAUAGAUAAAGAAAGAGGUUCAACAAGGUCCAACAGUCUGAAAUAAAAGUAAUGGCAAGCUCACACAGAGCCACAAUGCCAAAGAAAAAAUCAAGAGGCCACAACCGGCUAGCAUAACAAAGAUAGAUAAACUAAUGGCCUAUCCUAUUAUAUGACCGCCAUCCAAACCGGUUGAAGAUAUCCCAUGCUACCAUCUCUCACCGGAUAGAUCCAGUAACCAAACGCUCCCUGGCCUCCGUCGGAGUGAGUAAUGACCACAUACGGAUCAGCGCAGUAGCCCGGAAGAUAAUCUGCAACAAAUGGAUAGUUGUUGUUCUGUUAAAAGCCAAAUCAUUUCUGCAGUUCCAAAUUACCCAUAACAAAGCACAUACUCCUACGCGAAUGUGUCUAGCUGUUUCGGACUCUAUCCCAGCAAGCCAUGUUCCAAAUAACGUACUAACAGAAUUCGGAGGAGUAAUGUUAAAGGCAAUGUGCACCGUGUGCCACAACACUUUGGCCAACGGGCAAUCAAAGAAUAAGUGCUUGAUAGUUUCAUCCCGAUCACAUAAACUACACCUAUUAGAACCUGUCCAGUUGUGCCUAACCAAGUUAUCCUUUGUUAGAAUGACUUGUUUAUGUACAAACCACAUAAACACUUUAAUUUUCAAAGGAACUUUGACUUUUCAAACAAAUUUGGAACUAGGAAUGGCACUAGAGUUGAUGACACCGAGAUACAUUGAUUUAAUUGUGAACUCUCCAGACCUAGUGAGCUUCCAGCGCAACUGAUCGGACUGAUGAGAUAGCUGAGCCUCCAUCAGUCUACUCACUAAAUGGAGCCACGCUUCCCACCGGUUGCCAACAAGCGUCCUUCUAAACUGAAUAUUAAGGGGAAUGGACUGCAAAAUCAUUGCAACAAAAGCAUCACGAGUAUGCCUAUGUUUCUCUUAUCCUUCUUCGAAGUCUCAGUUGGUGUUAGGAGAAGGCUGGACUUCUAUCGAUCCCGAUUCUUUGGCAGAGCGAUGAACUAAAGGGAAAAUACAGACUCGCUAAAUGGGAUAUCAUCUAUCGACCAAAGGACCAGGGGGGUCUUGGUAUCGAGAAUCUUGAAGUCAAGAACAGAUGUCUUCUCAGUAAGUGGUUGUACAAGUUAUCAGUUGAGACUGAGGCCACGUGGGCGCAGAUUCUUCAUAGUAAGUAUCUACAGUCCAAGACUUUGUCCCAGGUGACAGUGAGACCGACUGACUCGCCUUUUUGGAAGGGGCUUAUGAGAGUCAAAGCAACCUUCUUUAGUAGGACAAAGUUUAUAGUUGGUAACGGCAACACCACUCGCUUCUGGAAGGAUACUUGGCUUGGUGAAACGCCGCUGGCGCUUCAGUAUCCUUCAUUGUAUAGUAACAUUUUUUUUCGAAAAGGGGGGGCUCCCCGGCCUCUGCAUCAGAAUGAUGCAUACGGCCAUCUUAUUAACCAAAAAAAAAAGUGCCACAAGGUUCCAAAGUCUCCAUCUGAAAAAAGAAAAAGAUGGCUCACACAGAGCCUAAAAGGCUAGAUAUACAAACUAGCCAGGAAAAGACGCCACAACCGGCUGGCUAAAGGUAAACUAAUUGCCUAUCCUAUUACAUGACCGCCAUCCAAACCGGUUGAAGAUAUCCCGAGCUACCAUCUCCCAACGGAUGGAUCCAGUAACCAAAUGCUCCCUGGCCUCCAUCGGAGUGAGUAGCGACCACGAACGGAUGACUGCUGUAGCUCGGAAAAUAACCUGCAAAAAAUGAAUCUGUGAUGUUCUAUUAAAAACCAAAUCAUUUCUGCAAUUCCAGAUAGUCCACAACAUAGCGCAAACUCCAACCCAAAUAUGUCGUGCUAAGUCAGGCUCAACCCCAUUCAGCCAUGUCCCAAAUAAUGCGUUGACAGAAUUCGGUGGAGUAAUAUUGAAAGCAAUAUGGACCGUCCGCCAAAGAACUUUGGCCAACGGGCAAUCAAAGAAUAGAUGCUUGAUCGUCUCAUCCCGAUCACAGAAACUACACCUAGUAGGUCCUGUCCAAUUACGCUUUAGCAAGUUGUCCUUUGUUAAAAUAACUUGUUUAUGGACAAACCACAUAAACACUUUAAUUUUUAAAGGGACUUUGACAGCCCAGACAUACUUGGAAGUUGGAAUGGAGUUCGAAUUAAUAAUAUCAAUAUACAUUGAUUUAACUGAAAAUACUCCUGAUCUAGUCAACUUCCAGCAUAAUUCAUCGGGUUGGUGAGAAAGUUGAACCCCCAUCAGUCUUCUAACUAGAUGGAGCCAUUCUUCCCAACGAUUGCCCGCUAGCAUCCGUCUAAACUGAAUAUUAAGGGGGGUAGAGUGAAAUACUGUUGCCACGAACACCUCACGACGUUGAGCAAUCCGAUAUAAAGACGGAUAUACAUUGUAUAGUAACAUGCACGAGCAUGUAAGGGAUCUUCAAUGCGGGACCGUAUUGACACCACUUUUUGGCAUGUAUGAUCAAGUCCUCAAAACUAUCUCAAAUGAAGAAGUGUUUAACAUGGAAAUUCCUCCCCUCGUCGCAGCGAACUAUUUUGCCUUUUGAAUCAUCUCAAUCCGAGGCCGUUUGCAGAAUUUAAAUAUCAUACAGUCUAGUGUGUAUUGCUUGCUAAAAAGAAAGAGGGGAUAGACAGCAGCCGACAUGAACGUGAGGUGGCAGCAUCCGCCCGUCCUGUGGUCGGAAGGCGGAUGAUUUUCAGGCCCCGAGCGGAGUCGACCUGACGCCUGAAACUGACCUAAAGCUACAACCAAGUAUACAAGAGUUCAGAAAACAUAGCAGAAGCAGAGGAAGCUACAUGCAAGUAUUUAGAGUUCAGAAAACAGAGCAUAGCAGAUGAAAGCUAGCUACAGGCAAUAACGAUGACAGGCAAACAGAGCAAAGCAGAUGCUUGAUUUCCUAUCCUUGUCCACUGCCUUGUGCCUUCACUUCUCGCUGGUGGCCAGAGUCGAGUCAAGGUCCACAAAGGUGAAGUCGCUGGAGUAUUGAGUUUGCAAUCCAGGCCCUGGUCUCAAAAGACAGAUAUCAUCAUCAUCAUCAUCAAUGGACCUCCAAUAUUGAACUGCCUAUGAAUAUGCUAGAAUAUUGUGAACUGGAAACUAUCAGUAUUCAAAGAUAUGAUUUGUAGACAGAUUGCAAAGCUAGAGUUUCUCAUCAAGAUGGCCAAGUGAUGAGCUGGAUCUUUCUUCAGGAGCCAAGGUGUCUACCUAGUAGAAAUCACUGCUGAUGUUCCCUUUCCAUUUUCUUACCCACUGGAUUUCUUCAUAAAAUUGUUCUGUUUUGUGUGCAGUGUCUGCAUUUGAAAUAGUAACUGAACCUUCUGUCCUUUCAAUUUUGGAGGAAGCAAUUGUGGAACUCUGGAAACAGGGUGAACAGCCUAUGAUAGAUCAUUGUCUAGUUGCAUUCCUACACACAGACACACGCACACAAAACAUAAUCCGUAUCCAGUGUCUGAAGUGAGAUGACACUAAAUCUAUUCAAUGUUCCAGAAUAUUGAUGUUUUAAAUGGUACUCCCUCUGUAAACUAAUAAGAUAAAUUUUUGUCGUUAUUUUUUUACAGAGGGAGUAAUAGCUAGGGAUGAAGAUAACCACAGACUGUCCGGUGAGGUUUUUUUUUUACACUUCUGCAGUUAACUGUUUUCAUCCCAUGAUUCGAAGCCUUUGAGGUUCUUCUCUAGUUAACUCUUUGGCUCUGCUCAUAGUGACCAGAAAAUUUGUGGCCAAAACUUUACGAGAUCAAGUGCGCCCGGUCGACGGGCCACCAGAUGGGUCCAUGGAGAAACUGUGCCCAAGGGCAAGCUUUUCAUCUUUGAGAAGUGCCGACGCCUCGGCGAGGACGUCAAGCGUUCAUAUUCAGACAUGCGUUUCGACAUCUCAUGGUUGAUUCGAGGCAAUUGGCACUUGGAAGAUAGGUUUUUGUUGUGAUAGUUGUAUAACCAUGUACGUGUCNNNNNNNNNNNNNNNNNNNNNNNNNNNNNNNNNNNNNNNNNNNNNNNNNNNNNNNNNNNNNNNNNNNNNNNNNNNNNNNNNNNNNNNNNNNNNNNNNNNNNNNNNNNNNNNNNNNNNNNNNNNNNNNNNNNNNNNNNNNNNNNNNNNNNNNNNNNNNNNNNNNNNNNNNNNNNNNNNNNNNNNNNNNNNNNNNNNNNNNNNNNNNNNNNNNNNNNNNNNNNNNNNNNNNNNNNNNNNNNNNNNNNNNNNNNNNNNNNNNNNNNNNNNNNNNNNNNNNNNNNNNNNNNNNNNNNNNNNNNNNNNNNNNNNNNNNNNNNNNNNNNNNNNNNNNNNNNNNNNNNNNNNNNNNNNNNNNNNNNNNNNNNNNNNNNNNNNNNNNNNNNNNNNNNNNNNNNNNNNNNNNNNNNNNNNNNNNNNNNNNCUCCUGGGAGUACGUACUCCCGCUCCUCAUAUACCACAUAAAAAUUAGGACAUAAAUUAGGUAAUUGCCCGUGCGUUGCAGCGGGGUCAUACAAACUCAAAUUGUAUGUAUAACAUUUACCCUUAAUUAGAACAUAAAUACUGUCAACUUUUUUUAGCCGAUAAAUAACUUUUGUUGUUGUUUUUCUUCUUCUUCGCUUCAUGAGCUGGCCCUCAUUGUUGCUGUCGGUGCUGCCGGUAAUGAAAUUGCCAUAAUAUCAAUUAAACUCAACAUGCUAUAUAACUCCAUCGUUUAAAAAUAGUUCGACCAGCUAUGUCUUUUACAAGAAGUACCAAAAACCCAUUGUGUCUAUUCUCGUAAUCGUAAACUAUCUAGUACAAGCCCGCGUGGACUUUUUAUAUAGAGCACACAUUCUAUGUACUAAAUUAACUUAGAAUAACCUGAAACUCAUUAAGAAAGAGGAAAAUGUACUUCCUUCACUAACAAAACAUGGAUUCCCUGCCUUUGAAGAAGCAGACAAAUCAACCAGGCUAAGAUCAAGACUCACCUUCAUCACACACAAAAAUAGAAAAACGAAAACGCAUGCUGGAACCCGGUCCAACGGCAACCAAGUUGAUUCGCUGGCCUGCAAGAUGGGAAUUACAAGGGUGUACAUGAUCUCUUACAUGGGCCAUGCAAGGCAUCCCCGAAGAAGGAUGGCAUGCAUAUUGAUUUUUGCGUUGCACCUCUCCAACUCUUUUGCUUGAACUCAUCCAUGGCUUGGAAGAGAGAGGGCACUACCUGAGAUUUUCUGGAUCGCGUUGUUUUUCAGAGAGGGUCGGCUGAGAGAGAGAGAGGUUCGAUAGCCUGGCAGAGGAAGAGAUGCGGCAAAAUCGGGAGACAGAUAAUUUCGCUGGAGAGAGAUAUUUACGCGUGAGAGAUUACGGGAGUACAUUCAGGGAAAGAUAUAUUUUCCAUAACUAUUGUCUGGGAUUUAUUUUCCAACUGAAUGAUUGGGAGAUUGGCUAUGUGAGGGAUAUUGGCCCUUGAUUACAGGAGACCGAUCCGAGUUUAUUGGGUCACCAAAGAAUAUUUAUUAGGUUACCAUCAAAAGACUAAUGUGAUCCUGCCGGUUAAAUAAAAAUCGUGUGAAAUAGAAAAUCAGGACGGGGAGGAAAAUCAGAGGAGGGGUGGGGAGGGGCGGACGAAGAGGUUGGACGAAAAAUUGACGUAUGACGGGAAACGAAACGCUCCGUUUCUUUUAGGUAGUAUAUAUAUACUAGCAAAAGGGCCCGUGCGUUGCAACAGGAUUUUUUUUAUAAUCUUUAAUGGCUAUGAUCACAUUUUGCUGCAUUACCCAGAUACAAUACCACUCUCAAUUUUGUGAAAUCAUGAACACAUUUUAAACGCAUAAACAUAUUUGAAACCGUGGUCAUUUUUCAAGUUCAUGAACACUCUACAAAUUUUUGAUCAAUUUCAAAAAUUAAGGAUAUUUUUCAAAUUCAUGAAUAUUUUAUAUUAUUUGCAAACAUUUUUAAAAAUUUGCAAACAUUUAAAAAACAUUUCUUGAAUCGGCGAACAUUUCUUGAGUGGAUGAACAUUGUUUUGGAAAUUGGUGGGAUUUCUUUUGAAAUUCAUGAAUAUUUUUUAUUUAACGAACAUUUUCUGAAAUGCAUAAUCUCUUUUGAAUCAGCGAACAUUUUAUGCAUGAAUAAACUAUUUUGUAAGUCACAAACGAUUUUUUAAUUUUUAAGAUAUUUGUUCAUUCAUGAACAUUUUUUAAAUUGGCAAAUUUUUAUUCAAUUUCAUUAACAUUUUUUCAUACAUGACCUUCUCAAAAAAUCAUGAACAUUUUUUGAUUUAUGGAACAUUUGUUUUCAAAGUUUCGAACAUUUUUUGAAUAAGCAAACAUUUUUUAGAAAAUUGUGAACACUUUUUGAGGCCACAAACAUUUUAUGAUUUAUUUAAAAAAAUAUUUCAGAAUUCCCAUUUCUUUUAAUUUGAGAACUUUUUGAAGUCCGGAAUUAUUUAAAGUAGAAAGAAGAAGGCAGAAAAAAACAGGCCGCUUGGACAUGGACCGGGCCAAACAGGCGUGCUGCGUCUUCUCCUAGAGCGCAUAGAGCACAGUAUAGGAUGUCCUACUGCAUGAGUCGGCCCAGUUGGGGGAUUGCCCUGUGUAAAACGUUUUUUACCACAUAUAGAAAAAUGACUAUGUGUUGUACCGUGUGCAUAAAUAUAUUAACUGGUUAACAUCAACGUCGUAAACAUGGACAACACAUCAUAUUCUCAAUUUUUUUUCUUUUAGAAAAAAUCACGGCGUCAAUUAAAAAGUCACAAUUUGCUAGUAACAACCCUCAGUUUUAUGACCUAGACCGAAGAGAAGCAAACAUUAGUUGCUCACGUGAGUAGAAAAAGAUCAAGGAGACUAACCUUAGAAGUGUGUCUGACUUGCUUCAUCCAAUCCUUAUUAUUAGUCACGAAAAAAACCUACAAGGACAAUAGUAGGCACUAAAGAAUUAAAAUAGAAUAGCAGUUUUGUGACCUGCGGCAAAGAUGUAUAAAAGAGUGGAACUAAUGUCACUCCAUGAAAAAAAUCAUAACAUGAACCAAUCCUUGUAAAUACAAAAGAUCUGGGAGUGUACGUACAUGAGUUCAGCACCAGCUACAUGGUUACUUCAUGUUAAUUGAAUACCAAUGAAGAAGCACAAAGCUAACUAACAGAAACAAACAAUUCAUGGUUUAGCUAUAGUAGUAUGCAAAAAACUAACUAACAGUAAGGAAAGCAUCAGAAUAGAUCUGAGUAGCAAGCACCAUCUAUAGUUUUCCAGCUUUGUCUUCCCUGAAUUUUUUAGGUUGGGCCAACCCGAACCAAAUAUGUGCAGCAACAAAGAUGAUACUGCUAUAUGGUAGGAUUCUUGAAUACUGUUCAAAGAAAGAAGAAGAUUAAUCUUACACUUGGGGGUAACACAGACUCGUAUAGCAUGGCCUUUCUGAACCUAUAGUCUUGCAAUGGUAGAUCCCGCGGCUAGGUUUGUGAUGGAGGAGAGUGCUGAGGCCGCCGGCGACAUAGUCGGCUCCUCGCGAAACGACUAUCGCAGUAGAUGUGGUCGCGCCGUAGGCGGCAACACUUGUGUGCGAUGGGAGGGCGAGGUAGCCGCAGUUGUACUCGUAGGCGAGGCCGGUGUCGGCAUGGUCUACAGCAAUUAGCACGUACGUAACGGUAUGGGGCAUGCUGCUGCUACUGCUUGAAGCUACCGAUAGCAAUGGAGGAGAUAGCAUGAAUGUGCCAGGUGAGAGGCAAAGAGAACGUCUUUGAUUUCUUGGUUCAAUCCUUGGCUUGUAACAACAAAUUUUUCAGAAAAAGUAAACUCAAACAGGGGCUUGCCGCUUGCAUUUCUGAUUAGCUGAAACAUAAUGCAAAAUACAUAAAAAAGAUGAAGUAGUUGGUUUAAAGACUCCAGUGCAUUUCAGCCAAACUAUAAUUGUGAGCAAUCGGAAGUAGCACCAAAUUUUCAGAAAAAAUAAACUGAAACAGGGUAGAUCCGAAGGGGGGAAAAUCAGUUACAUUCAUUAUACAACAAUGCAAACAAAGGAAACUCGGUUGAAUUCAUCGAUCAUACAGUGGUGUACCAACUAUAGUAACAGUAAAAAAACAACUACUGUGAGGAACACAGGCACCACAAGUUCACAACCAACGCAGCAACGCUAUUUUUGAGGGGGUCGAGGCAUUACAUACCUCUGGUGUAGCCCGCCGUUGGCGAUAUUGGACGGCUCGACGGAUGUUCUUCUACCUCCGGCAAACUCGGCACUUCUUCCUCCGGCGAACUUGAAGGCGACACGAUGCUUUUCUGGUCCAAGUACUCCGGGAUUUGAUGGAUUUUCUGGUCCAAGUACGCAACCUGAUGGAGAUUCCGGCCAAGGACCCUUCCUUCUUAUAGCAGCGAAAUUCAAUCCGGGUCGGGCACUCCACUGAUUUCUGUUGGAGAAGGCCACGGUCAUGAAUUCAACCCAAAUCAGACAAGGGAGCAGGAUGUUACCAGACCUAACAAUUAACGCACGACAAUUGAUCAAGAACAAUUAACCCAUAUGUACCAAGCCAGGCUCCUUUGCUUGCUCCCGCAACAAUUACCAACAAAAAACCCGGCCACAUCCAACAACAUGCUAUAUAGGAUCGCAAAAAGAUCCACCUUUAGCCAAGCUUGCAGCAUUGUGCAUAUGAUUUUUUACAUCAAGUGGCGCUUUGGAAGUCAUGAGUACACACCCAAUACCGACUGCACAAGAUAGAAUGAAUUUCAGAGUACAUGUACAUGUACAGAACAUGGAAGCACAUAAAAAUUCAGAGUAAGAAAUUUAUCAAGGAACAUGGUAGCACUUGGGCUGCAGGCAGAAAUUCAGAAAACAUGAUAGGUCUGCACACAGUAUUAGAGAGAACGUGAUUACUCCAAGUUGCUAACUCGAAUUAGCCUGCAACCAGAAGAGGCAACACAGCCAUGUGAGAUUGGGAGGAGCGCCAUGGGUAAUGGACGGGGGGCAGGGGGAGGUGCAAUGUCCACUGGUCGAGCAGGUUGUACCUUGCCAUGAUGAGUGCGCAGACUGGGGAAGUGGACGUCCUCUGCUCCGGCCGCCCCUUGGCUAGCCGACGCCGUGCCUCAUUGCCUUGGCCGCCUCUGCCUCCUCAUGUUGCCCGACAACUACCCCCCAUGCUCCAGCCCGCCGCGCAGCAGAAGCCGUCUCCGCCGCCGGCAACGCCGGCAAGGGCGCCGCCCCUCACCGAGCACACGCCCAGGCGAGGCGUCCUCCGUCCUCCCGCGCAAGGCACGGCGGACGCCUUCUCAUCCUCCUCUGCAUCCGUAGCCGUCUCUGCCGCCGACAAGGAUGCCGUCUCCGCCGCCGACAAGGACGCCGCCGUGCCGCACGGACGGCAGGUCAAGGNNNNNNNNNNNNNNNNNNNNNNNNNNNNNNNNNNNNNNNNNNNNNNNNNNNNNNNNNNNNNNNNNNNNNNNNNNNNNNNNNNNNNNNNNNNNNNNNNNNNNNNNNNNNNNNNNNNNNNNNNNNNNNNNNNNNNNNNNNNNNNNNNNNNNNNNNNNNNNNNNNNNNNNNNNNNNNNNNNNNNNNNNNNNNNNNNNNNNNNNNNNNNNNNNNNNNNNNNNNNNNNNNNNNNNNNNNNNNNNNNNNNNNNNNNNNNNNNNNNNNNNNNNNNNNNNNNNNNNNNNNNNNNNNNNNNNNNNNNNNNNNNNNNNNNNNNNNNNNNNNNNNNNNNNNNNNNNNNNNNNNNNNNNNNNNNNNNNNNNNNNNNNNNNNNNNNNNNNNNNNNNNNNNNNNNNNNNNNNNNNNNNNNNNNNNNNNNNNNNNNNNNNNNNNNNNNNNNNNNNNNNNNNNNNNNNNNNNNNNNNNNNNNNNNNNNNNNNNNNNNNNNNNNNNNNNNNNNNNNNNNNNNNNNNNNNNNNNNNNNNNNNNNNNNNNNNNNNNNNNNNNNNNNNNNNNNNNNNNNNNNNNNNNNNNNNNNNNNNNNNNNNNNNNNNNNNNNNNNNNNNNNNNNNNNNNNNNNNNNNNNNNNNNNNNNNNNNNNNNNNNNNNNNNNNNNNNNNNNNNNNNNNNNNNCCACCUCCGCAACCCACCCUUCCCUUCCCGGCCUCCUUCUACCUCCGCCGUGGCGCCGGCCCGCCUAGACCCGCCGCCAUCCUCGAGCAGUGCGCCACGAGCCCUGGAGCAGUGCACCGCGAGCCCUCUAGCAGCUCAUCCAUGGGCGCCGGCAAUUUUUUUUGGCUUCUGCAGUUCGAUACCCCCUGCGUGCAGCUCGGGCGCGAGCAUGAUGUGGUUCGGUGCAGUCCAUUUGGUCCGGCGCCACCAGCCGCGGCCAUCAGCCUCCCCAUCUUGCAACUCUCUUUCUCUGCUCUGUGGCAGUCCCCUGUCGAGCAGCAGCUAGAAAACAGUGUCGCCAUGCUGUUCGAUACCAAACGCCACGCAGUUGGUUCCUGCAUCAGCUUGUAGUGAUUUGUGAAGAUUGCACCGCCCGUGAUGGUUCCUGCAUCAGCUUGCAGUGCACAUUGCGUAGGUGUGUUCUGCAUCGUGUGUUCUGAUCCGGUUCUCUAGUGAAGCACUUCAGCUCGGAUGGCUGUGUGAUGCCGUCAAUUUCUUUUGUACUAGCUGAUUUUGUGUAGGUUAUUUUGUGUUGCUGCAUGGUUGUGUUGAAAGAGUUCACUCUCCGUGCAGCUUAUUCGGCGGGGCGUGUGGUUCGUCUGAGCUCGGCGUGCAGUGCGUAACACAAGUCGUCAUUCAGUGCUGGAUCCGCCUCCCCCUGUUUGCAGCUCCUUUCAAUAUUUUUUGCAGCUCACUGAGUAUUCUUUUGCAGUUUGUUAUGAAAAUCCAAUGGCACUGGCCGCGCCACGCCUUCUCCUGUUGCUUCAUCUGAGGAGAGGACGGCCUCCUCUCCCUGCCAUGUCAAGAUCCGACCUCCACUACCUGCGCCCGGAGUGCAAACUCCCUUCGGCGAGGAGCGAGGUCCACAACAAGUCCAUCCCGGCGGGUUGACGGGGUCGGUCAGUACCGGAUUCCUGGCAACCGUGCAGUUUGGUGUACUUUUAUGCCUCAACCGUGCAGCUGACUGGGUGCUCCCAGCGAGGUUUUGUGGUUUGGGGUGUUCAGUGUGCUCCUAAUCACCCAUGUAGUUCAUUUUUACUGUACAUUUUGCAUUGUUUUGCUUGUGUGGUGCAAUUGUCUUCUGGGUCUGGUACAGUGCGAUGCUAGGAAGAUAUGGGCGACGAGGCAUGCAGUUCCCUAGCGUGAACAUGUUUGAGGAUGUGGAUUUUGUUUUUGCAGUUUGUUGUUCCUAUUUGAGUAGUCCAAAAAGCGUGUUUUAUGUGAUGUGGGAUGUAUGAACUCCGCUCCACCUCGUCUCAUGUGGUUAACUUUAGUUUGUGGCGUGGUUCACUUCCCCUCAAUUGUGAAUUACACUCGCCUCAUGCAGUUCUCGGAUGUGGUUCACUUUUGAGAGUAAUGAGGUUCACUUGCACACAGCAUGAAAGUGCGAUUUUUUUUAGCAAAACAACAAAAAAGUAAUGCGGUUAGCUUUGAUAUAUGUCGCGGUUCACUUCCCUCGUCCCUGCGGUCCAUUCUUGGUCAUAAAAAAUGUUGAAAAAAAGAUGUCAAAAACUCGGCCGAGAAAAAUUUACAUCCGACAAAAGAAAUAAUGAAGUUCACUUGACUGUCUGAUGCAGUGCGGUGUCUGUCUGAAGAAGUGCCCUCAUCUGUCUGAUGCAGUUUUUUCGUCGAUUUUGGUGUCGCGAAAAAACAGAGUGUCCGCAUUUCGUUUAAAUCAAAAUUGCUCUUAAACCCUAACACAUUAGCGGAAGUGUUCUACAUGAAAAAGUUGCGCCUCGACGAUAUCUUUCCAAGGGCGUAUCGUUUGAAUCAUUCCGAUCAGCGAUUUAUAAAAAAUUCACAAAAAAAACCGCCGCUGCCUAUCGUCGUCAGCUGUACGAUUUUUAAAAUUGACUAAAAACCGUAAGGAAUCUCAAAAACAUUUUAACAUAUGAAAGUUGCGCCUCGUCCGUAGCUUUCCAUAACGAAUCUCAAAAUCAUAUGCUUCGUUUUGACAAAUGGUUAGGAAACUGGAGUGAAAACAGUACAAAAAAUUCAAAAAAAAUUGAAAAACAGAAUUCCGCGAUUUAGUAAAUUUGAAACUGCUCUUAAACCGUAACGAAUUAGAGAAAGAUUUAUAUAUGGAAAAGAUGCGCCUCAACAAUAUCUAUCCAAUGGUGUAUCAUUUGCUUCAUUUCGACAAGCGGUUUAGAAAAAAAGGCGAAAAAACGCUCGCUGCCACUCGUCAUCCGGCGCACUAUUUUCAAAACUGCUCUUAAACCGUGUGGAAUCUCGAAAAGUGUUUAACAUAUCGAAGUUGCGCCUAAUCCAUAGCUUUUCAAUAGUAUAUUACACGCCUCAUUCUGGUAAACGGUUAAAAAAUUAGAGCAAAAACAGUACCGAAAAAAUAACGCGUGCAGUUUUUUUCGACGAGAAGUUCACUAGUCUCUAUUGCUGUGCUCGUCGUCAAAAUGAUGUAGUGCGCUUCUGUUGAGCAUGCAGUGCCGAAGUGGUGUGCAGAAUAGUUAUUCUGCUAAUAUUAGCAGAAUAGACCGUCUCUGUGUGUGUAUAUACUAUGGUGUAUCAUUUGCUUCAUUCCGACAAGCGGUUUAGAAAAAAACGCGAAAAAAGGCUCGCUGCCACUCGUCAUCCGGCGCACUAUUUUCAAAACUGCUCUUAAACCGUGUGGAAUCUCGAAAAGUGUUUAACAUAUCGAAGUUGCGCCUAAUCCAUAGCUUUUCAAUAGUAUAUUACACGCCUCAUUCUGGUAAACGGUUAAAAAAUUAGAGCGAAAACAGUACCGAAAAAAUAACGCGUGCAAUUUUUUCCGACGAGAAGUUCACUAGUCUCUAUUGCAGUGCUCGUCGUCAAAAUGAUGUAGUGCACUUCUGUUGAGCAUGCAGUGCCGAAGUGGUGUGCAGAAUAGUUAUUCUGCUAAUAUUAGCAGAAUAGAGAGAGAGAGAGAGAGAGAGAGAGAGAGAGAGAGAGAGAGAGAACGAAGGCUCGCGAUGAGCCCGACUUUGAAUUAACAAAGCCAUCAACCGACCAGGAAUUACAACACCACAUCAAGCACAUCGGCCGAACGAUACAAUGGAGCACCCUAGGAAGCUUACAACUCAACGCAGUAUACAAGCUCACAACAUAAAGAAGAGAACGCCUAAGCUAGUACACGCCGCAGACCGCAGCACCCAAGAACCAAGGAUUGCGACCAACAUGAACACGAUGAGGACCUGCCAAAACAGAGUGGAGUUGUGGACAUGACUGAGUCCAAGGUUGGAGGAAACAAAUCAUCUUCCUUUGCUCUCGCCGUAGAGGGACCCUACCCUCUCGCCUUGGAUCGAAAGGCGCUGCCGACGGACAUGAGAGACGCUCUCCCUAGAGCAAGAGAGAUGUCGACCUCGAGUCCUGGAACAGGCACAGAGCACACCUCCUAGGACAUAAGCACACCUCGUCUGACACACCGGCGCAACCAAGGACCCCUGAAAGACAGCGGGAAAGCCAUCGGGAGCAGCCACUGAAGAACGAGCAGCAAGGACAUCAGGAGAGGCCGCAGAGCGACGAGGGCGAACCAGACCUCCCCACAGCCACCUGAGAACCAUAGCCGCCCAAAACUCCACCUUUGUCGCCCCUCACCCGAACGCACGCUCCCCAGGCGCCACCUCCAAGGAGGACACGACGCGCAGCGCGCCGUCACCGCCCAAUCCAAGAAGGAUUUUGGGCUUUCACCCGGGAGGGGAACGGGGGUGGAUUAGGAUGGGACCUCGGCUGCACCUCCAACGAGGAAGGGGAGCCGGACCAGCCGACCGAUGGUUUCCCACCAGGCACCCAUCCACACCUAUCCGGCGACCGAAGCUGCUGAAACCGGCGAGGGUGAGGAGCCAAAGGGAAGGGGAGCCGAACCUCAGAUCUGGCGAGGAGGGGGGUCUCCACGCCACAGCCACCACCCGCCGCCGUCCCACCACCCGCGUAGUCGGGAACACCGGCCAGGAUCCCCCACGGACGCCGCCAGCCGGGGGGCGCCGCCGCCACGCCAUGAAGGGCCGCCGCCCCAGAUCCUCGUCCUCUGCCAGGAACGGAGCGAGCAGGGCCUCACCGACACCUUCACCGGCGACCGCGCAGGCUUGCCGGCGGCCUCCUCGGGUGGCGACGAGGGGGGGGAGGCGGGGCGGGGGUGGCGGCGCUAGGUGGGGACCCUAGUCGCCUCCUGAGUCGCCCGAACGGACGACGCGGGGGCUGGGGGGGGGGGGCGAAAGCAGUUAUAUUCUGUCAGUAUAGAUCAAAGAACAUCAUUGAUUGAUCUCGACUGAUUAGUAAAUCUUAUUAAUACCUGCAGUGUAUGUAUAUAUAAGCAUACAUUUCUCCAUAUGUCGUCUAGUUAAUACUUGUAGCAUUGCACUGCACUUGUAGUCUGAUAUGGAUCAUAUCAUUAGUAGACCAAAAAAAAAGUUCAGGGCUCUCUCCUUGUCCUUCUUUCGGGUCUUUGCACUUGCACUGCACUGCUUAAUGAUUGAAAUGAUGAAAAACACAUCCACAUGGAAACCCAAGGAAGGAAGAAAGGAAGGAAACUAGCCUGAAGAGGAACAUCCAUAUAUAGGUUCAGAUGGUUGCAUGUACAUUAUCCCUGGAAACUAGCUGAUUAAUACUUGUAGCAUGCGUAGACAAACAAUGUUUCAUAUUUCAUCAAGAUGAUACUUCCUCCGCCCCACAAUAUAAGAUCGUUUUUCAAGCUAACAUAGCUAGAAAAACAAUCUUAUAUUGUGGGACAGAGGGAGUAGUAGCCUAUCUUUCUAGCCUCAUGUGAAUCAUAUCACUAAUACACCAAAAAGGCUAAAAUUGCAAUUUAGGGCUUGCUAGAAUCAUUUCUAUGUGGCACAUUUUCUAGCUAGAAUCUAAUUAUUUAUUUAUUGCGGGGGCUAGCUAUAAUCUAAUUGUUCCGCGCACAUAGAAAGACAAAGAUACAUGUAUUGUUUCUAAUGGUGCUUCAUUGUACCCAUCAUAUAUUCUUUUUGAUAAGCAACCAAUGGAUCUUGUUGCAGCCCCCAAGUGACACGCAACAGCUAAAGGGUGGAUCAUUUUGUAAUGGCUACAAGGGCCCAAACAGAGACGUCUGACGGUAGAUGCAAAUGGAUUAUCCGUUGAUGAUUUUGAAGAAAUAGCAGGAGCUCCGUCUUCUGUACACACAUCUAUUUAUAUGCAGCAGCUACGAAUGGUAUGUAGUACUGGUACAGGGCAUGAACUGUAAUGUAGAAAACAAACUGUAAUACAGAUAAACUUAUGUCUUAUGGACAAUGUCUACAUAAUCGAACUGAAAACAAACAACAGUUUGCUAACUGCACUGACGUUCAUGGGUCAAGACCAGCAUGCCGGGAUGAAAAUGGCAGUGUGGAGAUAAUCAAGAUUAUUAACAGGUGACCGUUCAGCUCUUGUGAACACCGUGAUCACUUCCUGCAUCGUUGGACGGUGCGAUGGAUCAGGCUCUAUGCACCGAACAGCGAUGGCAACCAUAUGAAAUAUCUCACGUGCGAUCUCAGCUUCAGGGAGUGGGAGACGGGUGUCCAGCAAGUUGUCAAGUGAUGUAUUUCUGUUGCUGUUGUCCAUGGAUGAAAAGAGAUCCCCUGGAUGUUGUCCCAUGAACAGCUCUAGAACAAGCACUCCGAAGCUAUAAACAUCGCACUUCUCUGUCACCCUUGUUGUGUAUGCAAGCUCUGAAACAUUAACAUUUCAGAGUUAAUUUUGAUAGCUAUCUGUCUUGCAGUAAUGCAAAAUACAUAGUUUAGCUUCCAACUAUUGAAACUAUGCUGAUGUUGCAUCAAUAUUCUAUGAGACAUAUACAAUAAGAUAAGCAAUAAGCUAAUGUAGCUCCUGCAGAUUUAAGCAUAUAGUCCGUGCAGAGAGGGAGGAAAAAUAAAUACGUAGUAGUGUGGGUGCAUGGGGUUGAUAAUUAAUUGGUGCAUGCCAUUGUACAUUUUAUAAAUUAGAGACAAAAAUAUCAAGUUUUAUUAAAGUAUGUAUGAUUAUUGAUUUAACCAACAUAUAGAGAUAUAAUUUUACCUGGGGCAAUAUAUCCUUUUGUCCCAGCAAGAUUUGUGCAGUUCGAUGCAUCCACAUCUAGUAUUUUAGCUAGACCAAAAUCCGAUAACAUUGCUGCUUGUUAUAUCUCUGUGGACUAUUGGCGCGAAGCAAUCAUGAUGCAUGUAACACAAAGCAUGAGCAACAUCCCGAACAAUAUUUAACCUACUGAUCCAAUCCAAUUCAAUUGCAGUUUCAUUGCCUUUCAAGGAUGCUGCUAAGCUUCCUCUAUCCAUGUACUCAUACACAAGGAAUCUUCCCUGAGUUCCAGAACAGUAACCAAAUAACUUCACGAUGUUGCGAUGUCGAAUAUGCAUUAACGCAUGUAUUUCACGGUUAAAUUGCUCACCAUCUUCUCCCAUGUGGAUCUUCUUCACUGCAAAUAUUUCACCUGUUGGUAACUGAGCUUUAUAGACAGAUCCAUUUCCUCCAGUCCCAAUGCAAUGAACAUUGCUGAAAUUAUUUGUGGCAUCCACAAUUUUCUUGUACACAUCCUCCCCAUCAAAGCUCCAGAUGGCAAACAUCUUCGUUUGUUGCACUUGAUUUGCUAUUUCUGCCUUUGGUUUCUUCUUUUUGCAUUGCCAUAUUACUAGUGUAGUGAUAAAUACAAAAGAUACAAGAGCAGGUAUAAUAGCUAGCUAGUAAAAUAGCUCUGUAGUUUUUUCCUUGCUUACUACUUCGUGAUAGUUCACAAGGGGGCAAACCUUUUACACUACCACACCAUUUCUUAUUAUGCAUCUUCAUAGAACCUAGUAUCUGGCACUGGCCCUUCUAAUCUGUUGUAUGACACAUCCACAGAUAGAAGACUGAUUGGAGCUUCUUCAUAGAACCUAGUAUCUGGCACUGGCCCUUCUAAUCUGUUGUAUGACACAUCCACAGAUAGAAGACUGAUCAUGUUCUGAAAUGAUGGUGGAAUGUUGUCACCCAGUGCAUUGUGAGAAAGAUUCAAGGCUUCAAGCAUACUAAGACCACCUAACAGACUUGGAAUAGCUCCAUCAAUUAAAUUGUCACUUAGAUCCAAAAGAUCCUGUAGGUGUACCAACAUCCCUAGUUCGAUAGGAUUAUGGGCCAUGGCGCACAAUACACGCUAUAAUUUUGGGUAAAUGGACUGCUGGUUUAUGCCUUCUAUUUUGGACAGAACACAUAUCAAACUCAAUUACAAACUAAAAUAAUCUUGCUAUACAAAUCAAUAAAAUAAAUGGAGAAUCUACCAUGCAGCCCCUCGACAUCAUUAAUUCUCUUGUCGAAGCAAUAAUGGUUUCUUAUUUACAUGCACACACAACAUAUAGUACAUGAAUUAUCCGUCAAAUGGUAUAUGGACAAUACCAACCGAAGUGGAGACUUUAGGUGUACCUAGAAGAGUAGAUGCAAUUUUAGUGUGAUUUAUAGGUAUGACAUAUUGCAAAUUUGCGGUAGCUAAAAUCACUUAAGUAAUCAAAAUAAAGAUCCUAAUCCUAUUUGAGAGAUCGGUAUAAUUUAUUAGAUUAGUGCCUACAUCUUUAAAUAUUGCAUGUGCACGAUUGAAGGUAUAAAAUGAUUUGGUCAAAACAGAUUUAACUUGGGGCGUCUACAAAGCGGACCCUCAAACCUCCCGCAAGCAUAUGGACUGCGUUGUCCGGACACAAUUUGCCAUCCAACGCGGUCCUGUAUCGGUCCGCAGAUGCGUCCGGAUAUCCAUUUUCCUGCAAACCCAAGACAAACAAAGGACAACUUUGCGGGAGUCUGGACAUCUGCCUGACGAAUCAAAAACCACGACUUACCCUAUCCUCCUUGUCUAGAUGGCGGAAGACCGUGCUGCUAUUUGGCUGAUGCAUGUUGCUUUGGCCGGAAGUGAUAGGAUAGCCUGUUGUUUGGCGGAAGAUUUAGCAUGUAGUUGGCGGAAGGUUUAAACAUGCAGCAUGUUGUUGGCGGAAGGUUAGCUUGCAUGCAUGUGUUUACACUCUUUUUUCACUUUUUCAAGUGCUUUCAUUCAUUUAAAAUGUGAUUGUUGUUAAUAUUUUUGGUGGAAGAUUGUUGUUGUUUGGCGGAAGGGAAGGCAGACGGAUAUUUGAGGUAUAUGGUUGGAUGGAUGACUCCCGUAUCCAUGUCCGGACACUAGUCCGGACCGGUUUUCAGACAAAUACUGUGUCUGUUUUGCGUGUUGGCGUUGGAGAUGCCCUUACAUUGUUUCACCAUUAGCAAUCUAGACAACUCACUGUUGCAGCUUUAUGAAAACAUCACUAAGUCUUCAAUUGUGCAUGACAUAAAUUUAAUAAUUUUGUGAAAAUUGCGUUAACUAACACUAGUAAGCGUGCACGUGCAAUGCACGUCUUAAACAUUGACCAAGUGAGAUCCGUGUUGUAAUUUUUUUAAGAAAAUAUAAAUCAAAUGGGUGCUCAAUAUUUGUGAUGCCACUCAACAUUGACCAAGUGAGAUCCGUGUUGUAAAUUUUCUUUUUAAGAAAAUAUAAAUCAAAUGGGUCCUCAAUAUUUGUGAUGCCACUCAAAUUGUAUCUUUCGAGCGACAAAGGUAUAAGUUGUUUCAUCCAUUAUGUGUUCGGAUAGUGCAAAAGAAAAUAAAUCUACCAAUAUUUUUAAAAACAAAUUUGGCUAUGUGUACAUCCAAAAUGUAAGGUUUCACAGAGCUCAGGAGAGUUUAGAUGCUACGGACAGCUUCUCACUUAUCAAAUAAAUGAAUGUUACAGUUAAAAUCUAACGAGCUGGGGCAAACAAUAAAAGAACUCAUAUCAAGAGCUUUCAUGUAACUAAUGCAUCUUCCUAAUAUCUCAUUCAUCUCUAGGGGAUGAGGGCAUCGCGCAUCAGGUGGCUGACAGUAUGACCGAUUGCGCAGGUAAGAAAAACUUUUAUUUAGAAUACUCAAGAUUUAUCAGCUUUUUUUAGAACAUCUGAAGUUUUAUCAACUGCUCGCUCGCAGUCAUUGCUAUGUGCCACUUACUACGAGGCACAUCGCUGCCUCACCUGUAGGGAGCGGUGGUGGACCGGCCCAGUACAUGCUGAGAUCAUGCUGAUGUGACUAGAAUUUCUUUUGUUUCAAUUUUCUCUUUUAUUAAUAUUUUAAAUUCAUAUAUUUCAAAAACUUAAAUUUACUUCAGAAAAUUUUAAAACAGGAAUUUGAAAAAAAUGUUAACCUAGUACUAAAAAAGUUGUUAGCACGGUUUUAAUUAAACGUUGAUAACUUUAAGAAAACAUUCGUGCCAAUAAAAAAAUGUUCCCGUGUUUAAAAAAAUGUGUAUAUAAUGCAACAAAAAUGUUUGCGUAAUGUAAAACAAAUGUUUCGCACCAUUAAAACAAUAUACAUGUCAUGACAUUUUUACAAAAUGUUAUACAUAAUGUAAAACAAAUGUUUAUGCUGGUUAAAAAUGUUUGUUUCCAUUAAAACCGUACCUGAUAUUUUAAAGAAAUAAGCACCUGUUCCCCAAAAAUGGCCGUCAUUUUUUUCUAAAAUGCUUAUACAAUACAAAAGAAAAUGUUUGUGUAAUUUAGAAUGAUGUUUAUUGCCAUUAAAAUAUACAAUGUCUAUUUGGAAACAAAUGUUACGGUGUAGUGAAAAAAAUGUUCAAAACAUGUAUUUAGUAAAAAUGUACAUCUUGUAUUCGAAAUUGUCCAACGGAUAUCACAAAAGAAAUCCACCUAUGCUUUUAAGAUGUACAUUGUGUACGGAGAAAAAAGUAGACAUGUGUUGAAAAAAAAAGUAAAUGGAUAAAAACUGACAAAAAACAAAAGAAAAGCAAAAAAAAAAGCAAAGAAACAAAAGAAAACCAAAGUAUAACAAAGAAAGAAAAACCAAAAAACCNNNNNNNNNNNNNNNNNNNNNNNNNNNNNNNNNNNNNNNNNNNNNNNNNNNNNNNNNNNNNNNNNNNNNNNNNNNNNNNNNNNNNNNNNNNNNNNNNNNNNNNNNNNNNNNNNNNNNNNNNNNNNNNNNNNNNNNNNNNNNNNNNNNNNNNNNNNNNNNNNNNNNNNNNNNNNNNNNNNNNNNNNNNNNNNNNNNNNNNNNNNNNNNNNNNNNNNNNNNNNNNNNNNNNNNNNNNNNNNNNNNNNNNNNNNNNNNNNNNNNNNNNNNNNNNNNNNNNNNNNNNNNNNNNNNNNNNNNNNNNNNNNNNNNNNNNNNNNNNNNNNGUUAAAAAGAAAUGAAACCAAAGGAAAAAAGCAAAAGAAAUGAAAAACCAUAGAAAACCCAGUUUGGGAGUGUUGGUUGUAUGCAAUGGAGGUGAAAGAAUUGCCCUGUAUCUUGGCACGACCGAGUCACUAUGCAUUGCCAUGACCCAAUAAUUUUUUCGGGUGGUUUGCCUUAGUAUAUCCCCUUCCAAAAAUUAAAACGGGUAGUUUGGACAAAUGUUGGGCCAGUAGUUGGUCUCUCUAUGGUGCUGGGCGGGCAACUACUGGCCCAACUGCUUAUUCUUUUUUUUUUACCUUCAAAAAAAUAAACUGCUUAUUCUUUUUUUAUUUGAGACGCUGGGCGGUCCACCAUGAUCCAUCGAAGAAAGCUUCAUUCAGCCCGUCCUCUUCCGAAUUCUCAAAAAAAAAAGUUUAAAAAAAAGAAAGAGGGCCCGUCCUCGCUUCCGGUCAUCCCAUCCCUCGCCAAGCUAAGAUCCCCGGCUUCUCUCUCUCUCAAAAAAAAGCUAAGAUCCCCGGCGGGCGCGAACGACGACUACGUGACCCUCGACGCCGGGAACAUGCAGCAGCCACGCCGGGAACAUGCAGCAGCCAAGCUAAGAUCCCCGGCUUCUCUCUCUCUCAAAAAAGUUGCCUGUAGCUUGAGGUUUCAGGCGUCAGGCCUACUCUUGUUGGAGUCGGACAAUCUUCCUCCUUCCGACCACAGGACAGACGGAGAUGUCGCCUGCCUCCUCACGCUAAUGGGGGCUGCUACCUAUCCUCUUCUACACGCAUACCUUAGCUAGCCACAUACCCAACACUUGCAACCUUCAAGUCCAGGGCCUUUACCUGAACUUCCUCUGCUUUGCUCUAUUUUCUGAAGUCUGCUUUGCCCGCCUCUGCUUUUGCUCUAUUUUCUGAACUCUAUAUAUUUGGCUGCAGCCCUCCUCACGCUAAUGGAGGCUGCUAUCUAUGCUCUCUUUCUUUUUGUUAGCAACGAGAAUACACACUAGACGCCUAUAUCGAUCGAAAUGGCGGCAGCUAGAUGUCUCAAACUCUUUGGUGCACUACUUGAUGGUGGCAACACCACAAAAUUAUAUUUGUGCACUAAGACAAAAUAUAGCAUUUCUAGUUCAGAUCGAGCUCAUUUAUAUAUGGUUCAUCGAUCAAUCCCACACAUAAUCUUUUUAUUACAAACCAACACGAUUAAGACAGCCAGCCAGCUUGAUCGAUCGUGAACACCACGUACACCAAGCUGGAGCUGGACAAACCAACCAAGGAAGCAAACCAACCAAGCUCACACACCAAUCCAAUCCAAUCCAAUCCAAUCCAAUCAUCGAGUAUAUGUAGCUUGGUGAAGAAAGCACACCACUGCUUUAUUCCUCCAUGCGCAGAUGGAGCUUGUAACAGACACACGACAGGCAAUGGGAAACACACUUCGGAGAUUGAGUUCUCAUGGCUUGACUGUAACACUAAUAAUGGACUAAUGCAUGGUCCAUGUAAGCCGGUCCACCUCCCUUUGCAUCAUCCAGAUUACCUAGGAAAUGAAAUAUGAAAUAAAAAAAAUAGACAUUAGUCACGUUGUGCAUCAAUGACACUUGAUCAAUGUACCCAUGCAUAGAACAAACUUAUAAAAGAAAAAAUUAAAACCAUUUUGAACCAACUGUACCUAAAAACAGAGACCCUCGGGAGGAUCUUCUUGUAGUGAGCCGAGUGGCGUGUUUCGAAGAGUGACGACUCAUGGUUGGCCUUGGAGCCGUCCCACUCGAGCCUAUCCCACCGGUCCUUCUCGCAGUCCGGUACCGGCUUGAGACCUUCACGCGACACGACUGGUAGCCGUCUCAGGCCCCAGCAGCCCCUGAGGCUGACCGUCUCCAACGCUGGCGCAUACAGUCUAACCUCGCAUAUUUGCUCUAGCUUGUGGAGAUGAUAUAGCUUGAUGUGCCUCAGCUUCUUGAAUGUGACACCACAUGCUAUACGGCGAUGGUUUUGAUAUAGUCGGAAAAUAUGUUGGAUGUUACGACAGUAUGCAAUCUGAAUUGUCUCCAAGUUUGGCAAGAUGGAGGAAAUGGGGAGCACGAACACCAGCCUAGGACAGUUGUGCAAGUAUAUGUGUUGUAGCCCACAGUGAUGCCCAAUGUGUCUACUCCAGAUGCAAUGGGCCAUAAGGAUAUCAGAUGCAGAAAAUAUCCUUAUUGAGUUAAAGGUAUUAAAUCCAACCGAACGAGAGAAGACAUUGUGCAUCUUAGGGCAUCUCUCAACAUGACACCAUUCUAGACUGUUCCAAUGUAGUGAUAACUCUGGAAUGAUAGUUGUGACCGAGACAUUGUCAUGCACAUACAACGAUUGCACUUUAUCCCCUAUGGCGGAACCAUGCAAGAACAUUACAGGGUCAUUCAUACUCUCUAAAUGGUGGCUUCCUUCACCAAUCUCAAUGUGCACACCCAAAGGAUAAAGUUGACAGUGAUCCCACACCAAGGUCGAGCACAUGCCAAUAUCUUUGUUAACGACAAUAUCAUUGUAAGGCAAGAAGGGUCAUGUUGGAACCGGACCUUCUUGACUACGCCCAACGUGAUCAAUACUUUUGGUGAUGUUGACUUGGUUGUCGAUUUUAGAAGCGAUAUGGAGAUGCACCUUGGAGCCAUGCAUAGCACAAAGACACUUUAUUAUGGACCAAACAAACCUUCCAUCUGUAAAAACCAUAAUUGCCUGAAUGCCAGAGGAAUUUUGUUCUCUGCAGUAGGUCGCUGACCCAGUCUUCCCCCGAGUGUCUACAUGUAGAACUUCCAAUGGAGGGUUUUUUCCGUCCCAGAGUAAGCUACAGAGUUGUUCACAGCCUGGCAGGAAUAGCUUCUUGAGUUGCCCAACAUCCAUUGCAUUGAGGUCAACUGUUUUAAUAGAUGUGCCAGAGAGGUCCAACUCCUCAAGAUUGGGCAAUGCACACAAGAACAUGUGUUGCAAUUGAGCAAAACCCUUCAGAGAGAUCCUUCUCACCAUUGCUUCUUGAACUAAAGCAGUGCGAGACUUGGGACAUUGUUCCGCCUUUGGAAGUUGCAUGGGAUGUGUCCACUUCUUUGUUGGACCAUAACCAUCGAAGCUAAAACUCUCGAGCAGUGGAGGGGCUCCUUCGAGCUUAACAUGCCCCAAGCUGGAACACCCAUCAAGAACAAGCAUCUUCAAGCACCAUGUUGAUGACAUUGCCGGCAUUGAUUUCAUAUGAAUGUUACCUGACAAGUCAAGGAGCUCCAGAUUAAUCAUAUCAACAGAAAGGCAGGUGUCCACCGUGAUCACAUCUAAGGAUUCAGUUAAGCGAAGCUUCUGAAGGUUCUGUAGACUUCUCCAUGCAUGACUUACUAUCCUCCAUGAGACACCCUUGGUAUUUACCUCCCUGAGAUUGGUCAUCAGCUCUAUCAUCUCUUCCAACAAGAGAAAACAAGUGAAGCGUACAUCAAGCACCGAUAGAUUUGCGAAACAUGACCCUCCAACCUGCUUCCCUCUAGUGUUUGUGCAAUGGUCAAGCCAAAGGAAUCUCAGGUUGCGACAACAUUGAAAAGGAGGGGAUGCAAAAUUGAAGCUGCACUUGCAAAGUUUUAGCACACAGAGGUUGCUAGAAAGUUGAAAUAAAUCAUUUGGUAGUGUCAGCAGACCAUCUCCCCCAAAUGUUAGAAAAUAUGAUGAUGCAUUGACAGGAACAACUAAGAUAUCGUGCGCUAAUUGGUUGCAUGAGAUUGAAAUCCAACCUUCAUAUCGUUCUCUGUGUCCAUCCAGAUAGCGUACCAAUAUUUCUUCUCCAUAGGAACUAUAGCACAUCUGUAUCACUCCAUACAAUGCACUGCCAACAUCACAAGCUAUGUCCCCUUGAAGGAUGUCAUCACAUAUCUAGUAGUUGCAAGCAUGAAUAUCCCAACCAUAGUCAACACUGAUAGACUUUCCACGUACUUGCUCUGCCAAAAACAGUGAGUACAAGAUGCAAUCCAAAACUGUUGCUGGGUUGACAUCAUACAUUGGUUCUUCAUACAAUGAUCGGUGCAGAAGUUGACUCGAAAUUUCACUGUACAUGUGAUACAUGGGUUCCAAAUAAAUAGUUCUAAAGUAAGUAGAGCUGGUUUGUAACUUUCUUUUCCCUUUUUCAAAAAGGGGGUUUGCCUCGGCCUCUACAUCAGAACGAUGCAUACGGCCAUAUUAUUGAUAAUCAAAAGGUCCAACAUAAGUCUUCAGGUCUAAAAAAGGAAAAGAAGGCUCACAAAGAGCAAGAAUGCAAAAACAGGAUAGCCACAACCGGCAGGCAAAACAUAAGAUAAGAAACUAAUACAUAUCCUAUUACAUGACCGCCAUCCAAACCGGUUGAAGAUAGCCCGUGCUACCGUCUCUCAUGGGAUAGAUCCAGGAACCAAAUGCUCCCUGGCCUCCGUCGGAGUGAGUAGGACCACAUACGGAUCAAUGUAGUGGCCCGGAAAAUAACCUGCAAGAAAUGAAUAUUUGUUGUUCUGUUAAAAACCAAGUCAUUUCUGCAGUUCCAAACUGCCCAUAAUAAAGCACAUACUCCUACACGGAUAUGUCUCAUUGUUUCUGCAUCAAUCCCAUCUAGCCACGUCCCAAAUAACGUGUUGAUAGUAUUCGGAGGAUUAAUAUUAAAAGCUAUGUGGACCGACCUCCACAAAUUUUUUGCCAAAGGGAAGUCAAGAAAGAGGUGUUUGAUGGAUUCAUCAUUAUCACAAAAACUACAUCUUUUAGAUCCUGUCCAGUUGCGUUUUGCCAAAUUGCCCUUAGUUAGAAUGACUUGUUUGUGGGCAAACCACAUUACACAUUGAUUUUUAAAGGCACUUUGACUUUCCAAACAUGUUUCGAAUGAGGAAUAGUGCUAGCGUUGAUAAUAUCCAAAUACAUGGAUUUAACCGAAAACUCACCAUUCUUAGUUAGUUUCCAGCGCAACUGAUCGGGCUAUUGAGAGAGAUGGACAUCCAUCAAUCUUCUUACAAGAUGGAGCCAAGCUUCCCAAUGGUUUCCCGCUAACGUCCUCCUGAAUUGAAUACUAAGAGGAUUGGACUGUAAUACUGUUGCAACAUAAGCGUCUCUUCACUGAACAAUAUUAUAGAGAGAAGGAUAUUGGAGUGCAAGGGGCGUCUCCUCUAGCCAUGUAUCGUUCCAGAAUCUUGUGGAAGUACCAGUUCCAACUACAAAUUUUGUCCUGUUAAAAAAGACUGAUUUCACUCUCAUCAGUCCUUUCCAAAAAGGUGAAUCAGUCGGUCUUACCAUCACCUCGGACAAGGUUUUGAGUUGAAGGUACUUAUUACGCACAAUCUGGGCCCAUGUGGCAUCCGUCUCUACAGAUAACUUAUACAGCCACUUGCUGAGAAGACAUAUGUUCUUCACCUCUAAAUUUUCAAUGCCGAGACCCCCAUGAUCUUUCGGCCUACAAAUGAUAUCCCAUUUAGCGAGUCUGUAUUUUUGUUUUAAUUCAUCACUCUGUCAGAAGAAGCGCGACCAAUAGAAAUCUAGCCUUUUUCGUACUCCAGCUGGUACUUCAAAAAAGGACAAGAGAAACAUAGGCAUACUUGUGAGAACCGAAUUAAUCAGAAUUAGUCGGCCUCCGUAUGACAUAAGCUUACCCUUCCAGCAGCUUAGUUGUUUUUCAAAUCGAUCUUCAAUGCACUUCCACUCUUUGUUGGAAAGCUUGCGAUGGUGGAUUGAUAUACCCAAAUACGUGAAGGGUAAAGACCCCAAUUCACACCCGAACAAUUCCUUGUAAGCUUCUUGUUCUUUUCUAGCUCUUCCAAAGCAGAACAAUUCACUUUUAUGGAAGUUAAUCUUUAACCCCGACAAUUGUUCAAACAAGCACAUCACAAACUUCAUGUUUUUUGCUUUAGCCAAAUCAUGCUCCAUGAAGAUGAUAUAUCAUCAGGGUACUGUAGGAUAGGUACUCCUCGGUCAACUAAAUGCGGAACGAGGCCACCUAUUAGGAAUGUUAUUUAUAAGGUCAGACAAGUGAUGCCCCUAGUCUAAAAGUUAAAAUAUACUGUUGUACUUCCUCCAUUCCUAAAUAUUUGUCUUUCUAGAGAUUUCAACAAGUGUCUACAUACGGUGUAAAAUGAGUGAAUCUACACUCUCAAAUAUGUCUAUAUACAUCCGUAUGUGGUAGUCCAUUUGAAAUCUCUAAAAAGACAAAUAUUUAGGAACAGAGGGAGUAGAAUGGAAGUGAUCUGAAAGUGCACUAAGUAAACUUUUCUUCUAGAAAAUAUAUGCACUCGCUUGGUAUCUUGUGGGUUGCAAAAGAGUGGGUUGUACAUGUAUGUCUAGCUUAGAAAGAAAGAAAAUAGUAAGAAAUGAACAGAGCAGGUGCACUUAAUUUGUAAUGCUGGAUGUUGCCUUGUGGUUGAUUACCACUGUGCUAACAAGAUCAUGUUUUGAAGAAACAACUAUAAAAAUAACAGAUCCCAUGUCACAGAUAGGUUAGCAAGGAGAGGAGAUCGAGGUGCUAACCAGGUGUUCUAUUUCAUGAGCCAUAUUGAUUGACCUCCACAAGAAAGUUGUAACUAGCACAACUAGGGCAGAGGCCGAGAACUGAAAAUCUCUCCCAUUUUAAGAUCCCCUCAUGUCGCCCCCGCCCUUGGCGACUCGGGGGCUCUCCAACCCUAGGUGCCGCUGCCGCCCUCUCCUCCUCCCCUCCUCGCGCCGCCGCCGGGUGAAACACGCGUGGCAGCCAACGGCGGCGGGGGACUCCCUCUCCCGGAUCCCCUUCCUCUGCGGGCCGCGGAUCUAGGCGGCAGGUGGCAGUGUCCUGCGGCGCUCGCGGUCGGGCGCGAGGUGGCAGGCCUCGGCGAACGGUGGCGGGGCACGGGGCGCGCGGCGGCGGGCCUUGGUAGGCGGUGGCGGCUACGCGCGGGGUUGGCUCCGGGGCGGCCGCGUGGGCACAAAUCCAUCACGGAUCUGGUCCUGCGGGCACAUUCUCGGCCUCCUCUGCUGGGCCGGCGGGUCUAGGUGGGGGGACUUCUCCUUGCUGAGAUCUGGCAGCGGGGUCAUCCAGAUCCCGGCAAGGAUGGCGACAACCCGUGCACUAGAGAUGGAGAUCUUCGAUCAGAUCUGGGUGAAAAUCUGCUAUUGGCUAUCCAAGGCCGAUGGCGACAAUGUCUGCGUCAUUACCUUCCUGAAGGCAUCGCCAUGGAGAAGUUCAAGGACACUCUCUGCUACCUCCGGGGGAAACCCUAGAUCGGUAGAUCGGAUGACGACGGCUCUCUGGUGUCGUUUCCCCCUUGGGGGCGUCAGUCUUAGAGGUGCACACGGGCUCAAGGGACCGGAGGACGGUGACUUUGGUGGAGCGGUGCUUCAUCUUACACAUUGAUGGUGGCGGAUCUCGGCGGCGUGGCGCUGUGGAGACUCGGCAUCUGAUGCGCGGAGAUGGACUCGCUCAGUAGGAGGAAGCUGUCUGGCGUCAUGAUGGCGUUGAUGGUAGAGAGGCCUGGCAAGGUCGGUGCUUCAGUUCUGCUCUGAGGAUGGACCGAGGGAUGAUGGAGGUGACGGCCCUUGCAGCGUGUGGUGCUCACUGGGAGUGUGCCAGACCGGUGUGGGACCUAAUCCAGGUAGUGGCUUGGAUGGGAUACCGGGCUUUAGAUGUUAGACUUUGGUUCCAUGUCUGUUUGGAUGUUAGAUGUUAGCCCAUUAGUCCCAGUUCAGUCUAGAACCGAGACUAAUGGGGCCAUUUGUCCCGGUUUGUGCGCCCAGGGGCCACGUGGGCCAUUUGUCCCGGUUCGUCUGGACCUUUUAGUCCCGGUUGGUGCCACGAACCGGGACUAAAGGGUGCGAUGCCCAUUAGUACCGGUUCGUGGCACCAAACGGUACUAAAGGUUAGACCUUUAGUCCCGGUUCGAGCCACCAACCGGUGCUAAUGGGGUUUGAGGCAUUAGUAUCGGUUCAUGGCACGAACCGAUACUAAAGGUCCCAUUUUCAAACUCCACCCCCCUGAUCGCCUUUUCAGUUUAAAAAUAAAUAAAAGAAAAUGAUGAAAAUGUCAAAAAAAUAAAAAUAAUAAGUUUCCCAUGUGAUAUGUGGUCUAGUUGUUGGGAAAAUUUGCAAAUGUGAAUUUCGACUUUAUUUGCAAAAUCUCUCUAGAAUUUAGUAAAAUGGGCAUAACUUUUGCAUACUAACUCGGAUGAAAAAGUUUUUUAUAUGAAAAAUCAUCUACUCGAAAAGAUACAUCCAAAUUUUCAAAAUCCUCAAAAACCUAACAGAAAAAAGUUACGGGGCUUUUAAGAUCUAGAGUGGAAAAAAUCGAAUUUUUUUCAUACUGUGGUCAAACUUUGGUCAAACUAAUUAUUCUAGAAUAUUAGUGUUACUAAAUAAGUAUUUCAGUUAUUUUGAAUUUUGGUCAAAUCUGGUCAAACUGUGGUCAAACAAUGGUCAAACUAAUUAUUCAAGAAAUAUUAGUGUUACUAAAUAAUUAUUGUUUUUUAAAACAAAAGUUUCAAACUCAAACAGUGAAAUGUAUCACUUCAUGCUCAAGCAAAAUUCCCGAGGGUUAAUAGGAUUGACAUCUUACUAUUGUCAGGAAAACAACAAGUGCAGACUUGGAAACGAGGGAGAAUAGAACCUGGAAGUUAAGCGUGCUCAGGCUGGGGGAGUGGGAGGAUGGGUGACCGUUUGAGAAGUUAGAUGAUUGAGAAUGAUGAGGGGUGAUUAGAGAUUAGAGGAUAAAUUGAGCAGUGAUGAGGGGUGGUGAUUAGAUAUUAGAGGUUAAAAUAAUUCAAAAAUUUGAAAAGAAAAAUUCAAAAAAAAAAUCAUAAAAUUUCCUUUAGUCUCGGUUGGUGUUACCAACCGGGACUAAAGGGGGGAGACAUUAGUAACGACCCUUUAGUCCCGGUUCAUGAACCGGGACUAAAGGCCCUUACGAACCGGGACAAAUACCAUGUUUUCUACUAGUGCUCAGACCUACGGGUCCAUAGUUAUUAGCUAGAUGGCUUCUUCUCUCUUUUUGGAUCUCAUUACAAUGAUCUCCCCCUCUCUUGUGGAGAUCUAUUCGAUGUAAUCUCUUUUUGCGGUGUGUUUGUCAAGAUCCGAUGAAUUGUGAGUUUAUGAUCAGAUUUAUCUAUGGAUAUUAAUUGAAUCUUCUCUGAAUUCUUUUAUGUAUGAUUGAGUUAUCUUUGCAAGUCUCUUCGAAUUAUCGGUUUGGUUUGGCCUACUAGAUUGAUCUUUCUUGCAAUGGGAGAAGUGCUUAGCUUUGGGUUCAAUCUUGCGGUGUUCUUACCAAGUGACAGAAAGGGUUGCAAGACACGUAUUGUAUUGUUGCCAUCAAGGAUAACAAGAUGGGGUUUAUAUCAUAUUGCAUGAGUUUAUCCCUCUACAUCAUAUCAUCUUGCUUAAUGCGUUACUCCGUUCUUAUGAACUUAAUACUCUAGAUGCAUGCUGGACAGCGGUCGAUGUGUGGAGUAAUAGUAGUAGAUGUAGGCAGGAGUCGGUCUACUUGUUUUGGAUGUGAUGCCUAUAUACAUGAUCAUGCCUAGAUAACAUCAUAAUUAUUCGCUUUUCUAUCAAUUGCUUGACAGUAAUUUGUUCACCUACAGUAAUACCUAUGCUCUCGAGAGAAGCCUCUAGUGAAACCUAUGGUCCCCUGGUCUAUCUCUUAUCAUAUUUGCUUUCAAUCUACUUUUAUUUGCAUCUUUACUUUCUUGCAUCUAUAUCAUAAAAUACCAAAAAUAUAUUCAUCUUAUCAUACUAUCUCUAUCAGAUCUCACUUUCGCAAGUGGACGUGAAGGGAUUGAUAACCCAUUUAUUGCGUUGGUUGCGAGUUCUCAGUUUGUUUGUGUAGGUGCGUGGGACUUUUGAGGAGCCUCCUACUGGAUUGAUACCUUGGUUCUCAAAAACUGAGGGAAAUACUUACGCUACACUUUGCUGCAUCACCCUCUCCUCUUCGGGGAAAACCAAUGCUAGCUCAAGACGUAGCAAGUAUGAGCGCCGAAAUUCCUUCUUUCGUCAAAUUGGCAUCACACACCAUGUUUCUUUCCCUCACGCUCAUCAGCAAAACGGCUCUGCCAAGCGAAAACAUCGUCAUAUCGUCGAAGUUGGUCUCUCUCUCCUAGCACAUGCAUCCAUGCCCUUGAAGUUCUGGGAUGAAGCAUUCAUCGCUGCCACAUACUUGAUAAACCGUACCCCUAGCAAAGUAAUAAACCUUGAAACACCCUUGAAAAAACUCUUUCAUGAGAAACCAAACUACCAUGCUCUUCACACCUUUGGUUGUGCCUGUUGGCCUAAUCUCCGUCCCUUUAAUUCUCACAAGCUAGAAUUUCGAUCAAAGCAAUGUGUAUUUCUUGGCUAUAACAAUCUUCACAAGGGUUUUAAGUGCUUAGACAUCGCUGCUGGACGUGUCUACAUCUCACGAGACAUUGUGUUUGACGCGACAGUCUUUCCAUUUGCUGCCCUAAAUCCGAACGCCGGUGCUCUAAUUCGAUCUGAAGUUCUUCUUCUUUCCGAAAACACCUUGCCUACUUCAGUUGAUCAGGGGGACGAACAUCUAGCUAAUGAUCCUUUGGGUAAUUUUCAUGAAAAUCCUGCUAUAAAUUUUGGUGGAAAUCCUAUUUUGCGUCAUGAUUUUAUGCAGCAACAAGAGACAAACACAGAACACGAGGAGGAUCCAGGUGCUGCACCAGAUUCUGAUGGCAGCGAUCCCGAAGGCGAUCCGCCCUCGCCUGUCGCGCCAGGCAGUGGCGGCGUAUCCGCCUCGGGGCCAGGCGGGCCAUCGCCAGGCGGCCACACGUCUCCCCGCGGCCCAGCGGGCGCAACAGCAACGUCUCGUGGCGGGCCCCAUACUAGUGGUGGGCCAUCUGCCUCGCCAUCUGCGUCGACGCGCCCGACCGGGCGGUCCCUCGACUUCGCCAACCAACCAACUGGGCAUCGCCAAGUGGCCCAGCCCGAUGCAGAUGCGGGAACGGGCGCGCGUGCACCGCCGCCAGCCUCCGACAGCAUCCGCCUUCGACCGGGUGUUGUUGGAUCACGCGCUGCUGCCUCGGACUCCGCCGGAUCCUCUGUGCCACGUGAUUUUGCUGCAGUUUCUGUGCCAGCGCUGAGAACACGGUCACAAAAUGGAGUUGCCAAACCAAAAAUUCGUACUGAUGGUACGGUCAGGUAUGACAAGCGUUUUGGAGGGCUUGCUGUCACGGGUGAACCCAACAAUUUAAAUGAGGCUUUUGAAAGUAAAAAUUGGAAAAAUGCUAUGGAUGAGGAAUAUAAUGCUCUUGUUCACAAUAGGACUUGUAGUCCCUCCAUCAAGGGGGAGAAAUAUCAUUGAUUGUAAAUGGGUUUAUAGAAUUAAACGGAAAGCUAAUGGAGAGAUAGACAGGUACAAGGCUAGACUAGUGGCAAAAGGUUUCAAACAAAGAUAUGGAAUAGAGUAUGAGGAUACUUUUAGCCCCAUUGUUAAAGCAGCUACUGUCAGACUUGUUCUCUCUGUUGCAGUAUCAAACUAUUGGAGUCUUCGUCAAUUGGAUGUGCAGAAUGCGUUCCUUCAUGGCGUUCUAGAGGAGGAAGUUUACAUGAAACAACCACCUGGGUAUGAGGGAAAAGGCAAGCAAUAUUAUGUUUGCAAACUUGAUAAAGCAUUAUAUGGCUUAAAACAGGCGCCCAGAGCAUAGUACUCUAGGUUGAGUGUAAAGCUUCAAAGGCUUUGGUUUUCGACCCUCAAAGGCAGAUACAUCUCUCUUCUUCUAUAAAAGAGGCAAAGUGAUCAUUUUUAUGUUGGUAUAUGUUGAUGACAUAAUUGUGGCUAGCUCAUCACAGGAAGCAACUAAUGCACUAUUAGAAGAUCUUAAGAAGGAUUUUGCUCUAAAAGAUCUUGGUGACCUGCAUUACUUCUUGGGCAUAGAAGUAAAGAAGGUAACAGAUGGUAUACUUCUAAGUCAAGAAAAGUAUGUGUCAGAUAUACUGAAGAGAUCAGGUAUGAUGAAUUGUAAAAUUUCAAAUAUGCCUCUUUCAACUACUGAAAAAUUGUCAAAAGAAGAGGGUGAGCUUUUGGGAGCCGAAGGAGCUACAAAUUAUAGAAGUGUUGUAGGUGCUCUGCAAUACUUAACACUUACAAGACCUGACAUAUGUUUUCCUGUCAAUAAAGUAUGCCAGUUUUUGCAUGCUCCUACUCUUCAACAUUAGACUGCAGUUAAAAGGAUUCUGAGAUAUCUCAGAGGUACUAUGAGUACAGGGUUAAAAUUCACAAAAUCAACCUCAACUCUGGUAAGUGCCUUCUCUGAUGCAGAUUGGGCAGGCUGUCCUGAUGACAGAAGGUCUAUAGGAGGCUUUGCAGUUUUCUUUGGACCAAACCUUAUAUCGUGGAGUGCAAGGAAGCAAGCAACUGUGUCAAGAUCUAGCACUGAAGCUGAAUAUAAAGCUUUGGCUAAUGCAACAACUGAGUUACUAUGGGUUCAAGCAUUGCUCAAUGAACUUGGCGUAAAACACUCCUCUGUUGCACACUUAUGGUGUGAUAACAUUGGUGCUACUUAUCUAUCAGCAAAUCCAGUGUUCCAUGCAAGGACAAAACACAUUGAGGUUGAUUAUCACUUUGUUCGUGAAAGAGUAGCCAAGAAGCUACUAGACAUACGAUUCAUCUCUACAAAUGAUCAAGUUGCAGAUGGGUUUACCAAGGCCCUGUCAUGGAGCAAGUUGGAAGAGUUCAAGAACAAUCUCAACUUGGUGAAGUUGUGAUUGAGGGGGCGUGUUAAAGUGUAUAUUGUAAACGUAUGUACAGUAUGUGUAUAAACCGUACAUACGAGAUAAGGGUUGCGUUGCGUCUUGUAAUCCGGUUGUUAGAGUGGUUAUAGAUAAUCUUGUAUAUCUCUUGUAUAGAUCAUUACUUGGAGAUCAAUCUAGCAACUACCUAACCACCAAACCCUGUAAUCUAUGUGCCUAUAUAAACACGCAGCGCGUCCCUGCUAAGGCAUACGCUUCACGCCACUUUUACAAUUUUCACCUUUGUCAAAGCAUUCAUAUUAUCCAUGAGCUGCUGGUGUCGACUGCAAGAAGUAAACAUCAUAAUGCUUUUCCUUCUCCUUGAUGCAGGAGUAAACCGCCACUAGCCAGCCAAUUAGCCAAAGCUCAGAUGCAACCUUGGGAGGUGAGGAAAUUAUAAAUAGUCGAAGGAGGCUUAGAGGUAACUAAUCUACUAGAGUACUAAAGAACUGCAAGCAUCCUCAAUCUCGAUCCAAAGCUGCCACACAAUAUCAUAUGUUUUUUAACUUAUCUCCCGUUUCUCCACCAUUGAUCCAAGCAGUGCCUGUAUUAGUUUAACAUAGCAGUUUGGCUUGCUGUCGAUGGGCACUGCUUUCCUGCCAAUUUGAAAAAGAAAAUGUUACAUUAGAUGCACUAAUCAACUCUUGACCUUUGACGCCUUGUCUCUGGGUUAAUAGCCUCACCGAUCCAAUCGCAGGCCAUGCAUUAGUAGUUUGCUUCAACUUGGCAGUCUAGCACGCAGUAAGGAUCAACUUUACAUUUGCAUUGACUCGAAACAGGUGAUGCUAUCGUUCAAUAGACUAAUGAACUCACAAGCCUUUGACACCACAUCUACCAAAAUAGUUACAUUUUUACAAGAUGAAAAUCACGCACCAUCAGAUCAAGAGGAUUGGUCGAGUGAUUGUCGAUCAACAAAUCAUGGUGAAAAUUAUGAAAAGUUAUUGUACUCCAGUUACAAAAUUAUAUAAAUAUCUGAGUUGGUCGUUGUCCCUUGAUACACGGAAGCUACCUCUUAAGUUGCGAAAAAUAAUUUCCCCGAACUAUGAUAUAUCUAGCCUACAACUAAGCACUGCAAUCCAGACACAAGCCAAAACUCGAAUGUAGAAAUAAAAUGUGUUCCGAUAUAGUAGCCAGCAAAAGAUCACAGUGGCUACUUUGUGGGCCUUUUGGGUGUCAGCAGUUUGUACCGGGUAGUUCCAGCACGCCUCGAUCUUGGCGUGGCAUGCCAAGCCUCAGAUGCAACCUUGGGAGGGGAGAAAAAUAUGAAAUCCAUGCGCGGGGCUCAUGCUCAGCAAGUGUGCAGAGUUCACAAGAUAGUGGUUGCCCUUCCCUAAUGGCUAGCCCCAGCAUGCAUUUGCAUCCAUACUCGCGACCUUAGAGCAAGCAUCAGGAAACACACCAUCUUGUCGUGCCUGGCAACCUGCUCUGCCAGUUGUUAAACUUAUCUCCCUAUUUGCAAAGCUGCAGGGGCGGUGCAUUGUGAGACACAUGAUGCGGGUCGGCUUCCCAUUUGAUUCGAAACGGACGGUGCUACCGUUGGAUCCAAUCGAUGCUCCACCCGAUCCAGUCAGAAGGAGGAGUUGUGGAGGAGGUAGAGAAAUAACGCGGAGCAGAAAGGCAAAAGAACGAGGAGAGGAAAAAUGAGUCUUUUCGCACUUAGGUGCCGUGCCCGGUGUGACUGGCGAGCUCAACAGCAACCAGCCAGCCACCACCGAUGGCUUACCGAUGCUAUACAGACUUAAAGAGCGGUCCCAAUAAAUUAUCAAAACUUAAUAUACACUUAGUUACAACGAAAUAUCAAUAUAUGAGUUGCUUAAUGUCCCUUCACCGUUGAGUCAGAGGCUACCUCUUAAGUUGUCUAGAAAUUAAUUAACACAACUAUCAUACGUUUUUACCCCAGGAAAAAAUACAUUAUAUAUAGUAGCUAGAGGGAUGCAUCAAGAUCUUGUGAUUAGCUGAGUCGAUUUAUACUUAUUUUGAGAAGAAUAAUAUUUGCACAAAAUUAGUGACUAUGAUGAGAAAAGCGGCUUAAGCAACCGAUGUCAUUACUAAAAACUUCUCAGAAAAUGCAUGAGCAUUCAACUUCUGUUGCGGUGCACAAAUAUUUAGGUUGUUUCAACUUAAUAACUCCUAGAAAGUCAAAAUGUUUUGGAUGUUUCUUCGGGCACUUUUUUGAAGAGUUUUUCUUAAGCCCAACAGGAGAUUUGUUGGUAUUCAUUGAUAUGAAUUUGGUCCCAAAGUGAUGAAUAUCCAAGAGAGAUAUAAUAAACACUCUCAUGAAAAGAUCUUGGAUAUGACAAGUUUGAUUCCUUGCAAUAGUUUUGCGAUAUGGAGAUGAUAAUAUGUGAGUCAUGUUGGUGAGUAAUUGUGGUUUAGUAAAAAUAUUGGUGUUUAGGUUUGUGAUUCCCUAUGCAAUCAUGUAAAGUGAAUAGUUAUGCAACGAUGGUAUAUCCUACUAAUGAUGCAUUAUUCAGUGCUAGUUAUGUUUAAUGCAUAUUUACGACCGUUUUUGUUUUUUGGUUGGUCGAUUUUCAAUCUAUUUGCUAGCCUUCAUUUGUACUAAGAGGGAAUGUUGCUUGUGCAUCCAACUCCUUUAACCAAAGUUGUGCCCAAUGAGUCCACCAUACCUACCUACAUGCGGUAUUUCCAUGUCUUUCUAAGUAAAUUUGCAUGUGCCAACUCUAUGUUCUCAAAAUAAUUUUCCGUUUUGUGUGCCGGUGCCGCUCAUGAAGCGGCAGGGGUGGCCAAUAUUUCCACGCUAGGUAUUUUAUUCUCACGAUGAGUAUUUAUUCACUUGUCAUUGCACGAGAGUGUGGCAGGUAAGAGAGAUGCCCAACUCCAAAAUGAUUUUUUAAUAUGAUGCUAGUAAUAAAUUUCUUGGAAAAUGUUGGUAUGGAAGGCACCCGUGGAUAUGGCUAGCCAAGGAUUGUGAAAAGAAUGGUGAAAAAGAAAUAAACUUUAUUUUCUGUUAGGGAACCGCCUAUAAUUUAUCUAGCAUGAAAUAUAUUGGGAAUUCUCGGUCGUUUCCGUUGACAGGAAAAGCAUGCCUCUCUAACUAAUUUUAUCUCUCAAUUUAAACCUUGAGCUCUAGCACAUCUGCAAAUCUCUGCUUCCAUCUGCGAAGGGCCUGCCUAUUUACUUUUAUGCAUUUUUUAUUUUGAGUCUCCAUCUUCUCUUACAAAGCACCAACUAGGAAAAACUAUUGUCAUACUUGUGCACUGAUGUAGCUAAUGUUUGAGUAUAUUUCAUGAAUGGAUCAAUGAUUGAGCAUAGUGUUGACGCUCAAAAGUGGCACGAUCAUAAAGAGUAGCUUGAAGCUAUGUUAAGAUUAAUUCAAACUUAUUACUGAAAUUCACCAUGGAAUGGCUCUCAUCGAGAAGAUCAACAUGGAUAUAAAGAUGAUCUAAAAUGGAGCUCGGAGUUUGAGGGUGGCGAUGGCUGAUCCGACGAGGGAGGAGGUUGUAGGUGGCGGUGGCUAGGGGAACAAAUGCACUAGGAUUUAGGGUUUGGGUCUAUAAAUGGACUAGGGGGUCUAUAAAUAAGGAAAAUGAGGGAGUUUGGAUCCUCCGAUCAAAAUCGGACAGUCAAGGUAAAUAGAUUAGGUAGACCAAAAGAGAAACCGAUGAUGUUUUAGGGAUGUUUGGGGAUGAUCUGGACCCAUCGGUAAUGACAACCCGGUUCGGGUUCGGGACAGCUUUCGGACGCGCACGAGGGCUGGAUAUGGAGAGAGGUUAUGUGGUUUGACAAGAGGUAAUCGAAAACCCAGUUGGUCUCGGAACGGUCAACGAAGGCAAGGCGGUCCGAGAGAAGGUGGUGAAGGCAAAGGGAGAAACGACAACGACGAACGAAUGCAUGUUUUAUGAAAACAUGACAGCAGUGAAGUGCCGAUGCAAUGCAAAUGAUGACACGAUGAAAGGCAACCAGCAAAAUAAAACCCACGGCGACAACGAAAAUAACUAGAAGGCAUCUGGAGCGUCGGUCUUGGGCUGUUACAUGAUGGCCAUCAAGGGGUUCAUCGAGAGAUGCACCAAUUUCACAACAUCACUUGCACUCUCACUAAAUCUCAGUGGUGAACGGUCUCAAAACUUGAUGAAUUUCUCGCUAAAACUAGCAAAUCCUAUUAUGUCAGCUCACUCAAGCUACAAGGAGACAACAUAUUCAGCCUGCUUCCCUUUGUGAUUGAAGGUUGACAUUAUUGCUGCCCUGAGCGGAAUGUGCAGCCUGAAGCAGCUGAAGCUGACUGCAACUCAACUGGACAAGCAUAUCAUCGGAAAAGGUGCAUUCAGAAUCCUGCAACACCUAUGCAUCACGGUGGAAGUGAUAAUUAACUAAGCUGGGCAUCUAAGACGGAGCUCCGGUUGCUUUGUAAAAGAAUCUAGAUGGCUUUCCGGCACAUCGAAGAUCAAGUACUUUAAACAUCUCAAGGAGCAGCAAAACAUAAGUGGAAAGAAGUGGGUGGUGAAGUAGGUGGGUGGUGACACAAAACAUAAGUGAAAAGAAGCAGCAAGGAAACAUCCAAGACGUCGCAAGGUCUUUCUUUUUCUAGACAGCACUAACAUCCUUGAGAAGUGGGUGGUGAAGUAGGUGGGUAAUGAAGCGUGAUGCACUUGCUUACUACUCCUAUUAAUUUGCAUUGGCUGCUUCCUCCUCUCCUUUUCUAUAUUUGGUUAUUUCGGUUCUAAUCAACUUAAUUGGCUUCUAUUAUUUCUCACAAGUUUAGGACUACAAUAUCCUAGUAGUCCCUCCGUCCGGAAAUACUUGUCAUCAAAAUGGAUAAAAAGGGAUGUAUCUAGAUGUAUUUUAGUUCUAGAUAUAUACAUCUCUUUUUGUUCAUUUUGAUGACAAGUAUUUUCUAGUGAGCUGCUCGUCAAAUUAGCUAGUACAACUGGGCAAACGGACGUGGGUGGAUCAACCGCCUCUCUGGCCCUGGAAGCUACCCAGGGGACCGGCGACGUGAUGCCUUAGAUCUUUUAUAAUUGUGGUGUCGGAAAAAUUAAUAUUCUAGACACCUUAAUUUGUGGUUUGCUGGGCUUUGAGAAGUUUACGUGUCCUCAAUACACCUGUCAUUUGUAAUAAUACAGUACCAAGAGGUAGUCAAGACAUGGAGCAUACACAUGUUCAAAUUAUUUGAGAAAAAUAAAACAGAAGACAUGGCAUCAAACAAGUGAUGAGAAGAAUGCUAAUCAAAGGACGUGCACGUAUUUUAAGUUUCAAUAUAAUACUUGAGACGAAGUACAGCCUUUUCAAAUCAAGAGCAGAUAAGAAUCGGAUGAGCAAGACUGGUAAGCUAUCUCAAAAAAAAAAAAAGAGAGUCCAAUUCCAAGUGUUUGAAACUAUGUAGUGUGAGCAGCAGAGGCCAAGGUAAUUAACAAGACAAAGCAGUGUGAGCGUCCGAGGAAUUAACAAGAGGCAGGCACGACAGUAGAGGCACAUGAGCCAGUGCGAUGCAUGUGAUAAUGUAAGGAGGCACCACUUCUCCCCGUCCCGAUCUGCUUCCGCCCUCCCCUCGCCAGAACGCUACUAGCCACACUCUCUCUUGAGGCCGCCAGACAUGUACGAGUACGACCCUGGAGGCAGCUCCUCGUCCCGGCCGCACGGCAAGGAGGAGCUGAAGCCGGAAGUGGUUCUCUACACGGCGUCCGCGUCCGCCGACCUCUACUCCUUGCGCGCCCUGCUGCGGGGUUACGGCCUGGCCAUGGACGAGCGCCAUGUGUCCAGGAGCAACAAAGCGCACCACGGCGAGCUCAAGUCGUUGCUUGCGGCUCGGGCCUGCGUCUUCUCCCUCCCGCAGCUCCUCGUGGGCGGCCCUAAAGAUGUUAGGCAGCUGCACCGGGCCGGCGGGCUGCGGCCUCUCCUCGACGGCGCCCCAAGGCCGUACGCCGCCUUCGUCUGCCAAGCCUGUAAGAGGGUCGGCUCCGAGCCCUGCCCAAAGUGCAGCGAGUCCCGCAACAAGAUGCUGGAUCACGGCGUUAUUGCCGACGAGCAGGACAAGGUUGUCCAUUUUUAUCCAACCCAAGGUGACACUUCGCUUCUCUCCUUCCUAUCCUUCCUAUACAAAAAAGAAAAGAAAAACUUCAAGGCAUACCACUAGCCACGCUCACCAUAACUUUGUGUCUACUUAUAUAUUUGGGACAUUUGCAUUUCUGCCCCUAACUCAAACCACCUACUCAGAUUUGCCUCUAAUUUCAAAGCAUGCUCAAAUUUGCCCCCCUGCCGUUAAGUCACUACUCAGAAAUGCCCUUCCGUCCAGUCAAAGGUCUUUGACCGUCAAAGGCCCAUGUGUACUGUAGCAGACGGAAAGUGCUACAAUAUUGGUUGGAAAGUGCUACAGUAUUGUACUAAAGGGCAUUUCUGAGUAGUGACUUAACGGCGGAGGGGCAAAUUUGAGCAUGCUUCAAAAUUAGGGGCAAAUCUGAGUAGUGGGUUCGAGUUAGAGGCACAGAUGUAAAUUAUAUUUUGCACCAAUACCCAUAAAAAAGGACCUUGCGUUGUCAACACCUCCAGGUUGCCAGCGCUAGACGCUCCUUCUUUGUAUCUCCUCCUCUCACCAGUGUCGAUGCGCUACUUGGCAUAAGCUCCAUGGUGGGUGGCGGCGGGCUUGCCUCUGAUGAGGGGAGUGGAAGGUCAUAGCAUCGUGGGGCCAGGCAAGGCGGAGAUGAAGAGGGCAGUGUCCCUCGAUGGGAUUCUGACUAGCGCACCGUAGCAACAAACGGUAGCUCACCUACUCCAUUGUCUUCCAUUCCUGCAGCAGCAACAUCAGUUGACGUUUUUGUGCCGGCAUCCACACUACAUCGAUCGUAUUUCCCCGUGGUAGUGUGUGUGGACUCAUGUCAGCAUGGUGUCGGCUUUGGUAGCCAACGUCUGACGCAUCUGCGACAUCCAUGGAGCUAUGCAGUUGACAGUUUCAUGUCAAUCAGGCAGGUGGAACAUGUGCAGAUCGACUAGCGCUUCAUGUUGACUACCCAGCUUUUCGAUGAAACUAGCAUAUGCAAGCAAAAAUGUCGAUUUUUUUGUUCAAAUUUAUAUACUUGACUACACAAUCUAAAAAUGACUACACAAGGCUGCAGUUCUGGCGGCGCCACUGCAGUCAGUGACACAUGUCCUAUAGGUAGCAGUCCCAACCUCCAGAUGGCAUGGUGCAAUGGCGUUGUUUGCCCCCGCAUCCAGCUAGGAUAGAUUGACAAAUACGGUAGGAAACUCCCAGAUGGUGAUGAGGCAGUGGGCAGAAGUGAGACUAGGAGGCAGCCCUCAACAUGCUUCCAACGUUUUCUCCUACUCCCUCCGAUCCAUAUUACUUGUUGCUCGAACGGAUGUAUCUAGCUAGAUACAUCCGCUCGAUCGACAAGUAAUAUGGAUCGGAGGGAGUACAUUUUUUUCUCUUUAUGUAGGCUAAUUUGUUGAGCAUCAAUGCUUAACUUUUCUUGCCAUCACUGAAUAAUCAAUCAUAUAUGGUUGUGCACGUCAACCGAUCUAGAGGGCAGGGAUUGAUCUACCUUUUGAAUAAAUAUAAAAAAAGAAACCAACCCGGGUUAGACUAGCCUUGGCACUUUUUUUAUAGAAGAAAACUCCAUGAGCACCAAACGCUCAAGCCGAGUUGAACCCUGGUGGGCUGGCUGCGAACUCCCGCGCCUUACCAACUGAGCUACGCCCAGUUCUCACCUUUUGAAUAAAUAUCAAACCAAUAAUUAAUAAAAUGCCUAGGAUAUGACCCAACCAGUCGGGCGCCACCGGCCUUCCGCAUGAACAAAUUGCUUGGUGUUGGCUUGUAUUUUAGAUCCUCCAACCGAACAUAAAUAUAAAAUGUUUUUGAUAAUUUUAAUGUAGACCACAUGCAGGCUGAAAUGAGUGAACACCCACAAUUGAAGCUGAGGUUCAUGAGUGGAAUGGCUUGGCUAAGAUUUGAGGCGGAUGCAAUGACUAAUCUCUUGAAGCUCACGCUCGUUUUUGAUGCCAUCCCCCAAAUGGACCAACGGCUUGAACUUUUUUCAGAGUCUGAGCAGUGGAAACAAUAUCUACAUGGUACUGCAUUAAUCAGCAUCGAGCAUAUGACAGACCUUAGAGAGGUCUGCGCAAAAUUUGGGGCUGCAGCUGCUGAUCUAGAGUAUGUCUCCAGUAAUCAUCCUAUAAUUGACGUGCAACUGGUGGAUUCCGGUUCCCAUGGUGAUAAAAGGUAGUGCCAGCGCUGAGCUACAUGGUUGUUGUAAGUCUUCAAUUCUUAUACGUACUUAACUGUUCAUGCUCUAGACUUUUUGGUUGUGUGCAUCUAGCUAUGCAGAGGCUGGGCUUUCUUUCAAUACAAUUGUAUCACCUCGAUAUAUCUAUUCAAUGAAAAGUCCUUUAUCGAAAAAAACUGUUCAUGCUCUGACGAAGCUAUCAGUAAGGUCACCGGAGUCCACUUCCUGCCCGUUGCAUGUUCCAGGUAUAUAUACUUUUCUAACAGAGACAAGUUGCCAUCAGGAUAAGGUGAUAAAUUACCCAUCAAUUUGUUGACUUUUGUCAGGAGCAGGAGCUGGUGGAGAGGUUUCAUGGGGCAAUAUCAUUGGUGUGAUAGGUCAUGACCUCUUAAUCCAUUGCCUCCACCGCCUCUCCAGGUGGGAAUAUGGCGCCAUCGCCUCCCUCAACCGUGAUUUCAGUUCGGUGGUUCGCAGCGGAGACAUCUACCGCCUGCGUCGCAAGAAUGGGGUCAUAGAGCACUGGCUCUACCUCUCCUGCAAUAAUAAUCCCCACAAGUGGAAGGCUUGUGACCCGUCCACUGGGCGCUGGAUCCAAGUGCCCAAGAUGCCACCGACUCAAAGCUCCUACUGGGAUUCGCUUGCUGUAGGAACCGAGCUGCUGGUGUUUGGGGGCUACGGAAGGGUUGCCUUGAGAUAUAGCAUCCUUACCAAUUCAUGGACAUGGCUGGCUGAUGUGAUGAACAACCCGCGGUACUGGUUUGGGUCAGCAAGUGUCGGUGAAAAGGCGUAUGUCGCGGGAGGCAAGGAUUCUUCUUCUGGUAAUGUAUUAAGCUCUGCAGAGAUGUAUGACUCCGAGAAAUAUACUUGGACACCCCUUCCAAGCAUGAAUAGGGCUAGGUACGGAUGCUCUGGUGCGUUCAUGGAUGGCAAGUUCUAUGUGAUCGGUGGUGUUAGCAGUAGGCACGAGGUAUUGACAUGCGGUGAGGAGUAUGACUUGAACCGGCGGUCAUGGAGGGUCAUCGACAACAUGUCUCAGGGCCUCAACGAGACAAUCAUGGGGGCUCCUCUGCUACUUGCAGUUGUAAACAGUGAGCUUUAUGCUGCUGAUUACAGAGAGAAUAAUGAUUUGAAGCAGUAUGAUAAGCUGGACAACAAGUGGAUCACUCUUGGAAAAUUGCCUGUACGGUCUAAGUACAAAGAUGGCUGGGACAUGGGUUUCCGAGAAUGUGGUGACCGGCUGAUUGUUAUUGGGCCUCCAAACAAUUCUACUGAUGAAAAGGUGGUGGAGCUUCAUUCAUGGAUCCCGGAUGAGGAACCGCCUGUAUGCAAUUUGGUUGCAACUCAGCAAUUUACCAGUGAGGGGCCGUUUUUGUACUGCGCUGUGAUGGGUUGCUGAGUCAGUACACUGAAGAAUGACUGGCUGCAUGCAUAAUUACCAUGGUAUGAUCUUUUCUAUUAUGAACAAUACCUUGUAUUUCCAUGGUAUAUUGUCUUUAUCCAAUUUGCCCCAUGAUAUGCUUUUGUAGAGAUUGUGUUAUCCACUUCUGAGUUGGUAAUGAUACUCUGCUUCAAUAUGAAAUUUUAUUGUUUAUGUCAUAUGUUUUUUCACUGUUUCGGUCUUAGAUAUGAACUCAUGAUGGUCAUAUUCGUGGGGUUUGUUUGCCUGACAUCAUGUUUCUGUUCAUUUUUCCUUGCAGUGCUGCGAUCUGGGAGGGCCUUCUCAUGUCUGAAUUUCCUGGAAGCAUCAACUACAAAAAGAGAAGACAUCAAUAAAUUUCAGGUGGAACAGCCUGAACAAGCAUCCGGACAUUUUAGUUGCUAGAAGUUAAUUUUUGUUGCAAUUUGGAUUCCAAAAAAGUUUGGAUGCUUUCCACGGCAUUCUGAUGAUCUUCAUUUUCAUCACCAACUUUAAAUGUACUUUAUCUGUACCGUAGCACGUUACCGUCGGUUACGUUUGAACAUCAAGUUGAGUCUCUAGCUUGCCCUUUUCUUUCUUCUGAACAUUGUUCAAACUCUGAAUAAGAAACAAUUUGGAAAGCGCACAUCUAUUAUAGCUUACUGACUCAGCUGAGUAUGAUUUAAUAUCUUCUCGAAACGUUUGUGUGCAUUUCAUCUUACACGCACAGUUGCAAUGUGUCACAAGACUCACAGGCAUGCAAUGAACCUAGCGAGUCCGGAGUCCUGACAACAAAUCGGUGGUGACACUAGUAUCCCAACUACUGUAAAUAGUUCAAAUUGCCUGCUAUGUGCAGAUAUCCUGUAACUAAGAGAGAUGGGCGAUGGAGAAUCGACAAUUUCGCAGGCUCUUCUGAGGAUUGAAUGGCCCAGAUUCAUGAUCCCUUAUUUUGGCUCUUCCAUCUCAUGCGGUCAUCCCUGCUAUGUACAGAUAUCCUGUAGCUAAGAGAGAUGGGCGAUGGACUGUAUCUUCACUAACAUCUCCAUCGUACAACUGAAGAUCAUGCCUGCGACAUCCGCCGGAGAGUCCUUCUGAAGUCUGAAUCCCUGUCAUAUAUUUCAAUCAUGUCUUCUGUAUUGAGGAGAAAAUAACCAAAGAUAUGGCAAGGUUUUUCUGUACAGUUCAGAUGCACCUGUCCUGAUGUAUUUCUUUCCUGCUGCAUUUUGGUUGCUAUAAGAACGUUCGGAUUAGGUAUUUAGCUGUUUCCUUAGUAUUGUUCGGCUUCUACAAACAUCUCAGACAAGAUCUGCCUCUGCCUGUAUCCACUUUAGGCCUUUCUGUUCAGGCUAUGUAUAGCGCCAUUGUCUAUUUUGUGGUCUGUACUCGGUUAGCUGCAUUUCUUGUGAGUUGCGACACUUAACACAUUGUGAUGGUGUAUAUGAUGAUCAUUAGUUUGAGGAGGCGACAUCUCUGUCUGUUCCCAAGUUGACCUGACGCCUGAAACCUUAAGCUACAGGAAAGUAAUCAGAGUUGAGAAAACAGAGCAAAUGCAGAGGAAAGCCCUACAGCUCAAGAGACAGACAUAAUUCGCAGCAUCGCCAUCAAGGGAUCUCCGGCAGGCAAGCUUCACGACUUCACGGUCGUUGUGCGCGAAAAAAACAUCGUGCUGCUGUAUCAUUCUGCUUCAUGAAGACACUUAGGUAAUUUUAGACACUCCAUUACAUAUGAUCUGAGUAAUAAAGUAGCUAGAGUACUUGGUAAAUUUACCAACUGGUAAGCCUAUCUAUGAAAUCAAUAAACUAAUGGGCAGCAUAUACUGUGAGAUGAUUUUAGUGCAUUACUGCUUCCUGCCUAUAUAAGUGCAUUAGGAUUAUUAGUGCGGUGAAGAAAUGAAAAAACUGGGUUACUUCUCCACUGCCGCAAAGGCGCACAGCUAGUACAGGCCGUGCUUCUCCGGGAGCAGAAAAUCGGGAAGGUUUUGCAUAUAUCUGGAUCAUAUAUACUCACUGACUGCAAAUCUUUUACAUACAUUAUUUUAGUCUUGAAUGAUUCAUAAUCUUGUUUAACCACAUCAUACACUUGACCGAGGAUUGGCUUUUACAAACUAGUACUCCCUCCAUAAACUAAUAUAAAAGCGUUUAGAUCACUAAAAUAGUAAUCUAAACACUCUUAUAUUAGUUCACAGAGGGAGUACAUGAGACAGACGGAGUAUUAUCUUAGUCUUGGAUGCUUUAAAGUCCGAGCGACAUGACUCGUUCAGCUGCCUGGUUUGGUCUAUGUAUCCAUCGAAUGUUUGGAAGCUAGUACAACAUUUCUGUGCCGUGUGAGACAGGCAACUCAGCCAUCCUCAAAUCAGUAUGCAUAUGCCUCCAACACGAAUGACUUGACCACUUAGCUGGAGCUUUUCCAUAACUGUCCUGACUACACUCCAUCAAGCAUGGCAUGUUCUGCAGAAUUCCGUGGCCACGGUUGUUCUCUUCUUUGACGUCUAUUCUCCGUUAACAUAUCGACAGAUGUGUGCUCGGCUAUUUAAUGAGCUGCCAUCCGUACUCAUAACCAGAACCAGAGCCAGAGCCAAUUCCAUCCGAGCUAGCUAGUCAUGGAGAUGGAGCCACCACCCAAAAUGCUUGCCACUCUCAUCAUCACCAUACUAUUGAUGAUCAUGAUGGACACCUCUGCCGCGCUUGCCUCGGAUGCAGUGGUGCUUAGAGGACAAGCAAGAGCACUCCUCGUCUGGAAAGAUAGCCUCGACAACCAAAGCCAGCACGCCCUGCGGUCCUGGGGAAACACGUCAGCACCCUGCAAUUGGCGAGGCAUCACUUGCGGUAGCAGUGUGCACUGGCGUCGGCGGCGGCCUGUGAUCACUGGCAUCUCUCUGCGCGACAUGCAAUUGGGAGGGACGCUGGAGUCCCUCAACUUCUCGGCCUUGAGGACCCUGACGCGCCUCGACCUGUCAAGCAAUCAGUUGGUUGGUCAUAUCCCUUGUGAAAUAGGACACAUGAAACACUUAGUUGCAUUAAAGUUGUCUAGUAAUAAUCUUUCCAGUAAAAUACCGAAUAGCAUAGGUGGUUUGACCAAACUCACUUCCUUAUACCUUUACGGUAACCAACUUUAUGGACAAAUUCCACGAGAACUGGGUUACCUUCUAAACUUAGAGGACCUGCAACUUGGCACCAACACACUCUCAGGUUCCAUUCCAAGAAAUUUACGUAAUUUGACCAAGCUCGCCGUGUUAAGUCUCUGGGGCAACGAACUUUCUGGGCUAAUUCCACAGGAAUUAGAUUACCUUGGGAGCUUGCAGUACCUGGAUCUUAGUGAAAACAUACUCUCAAGUUCUAUCCCAAAUAGCCUAGGCAAUUUGACAAAACUCACUACCUUGUACCUUUUUCAAAACCAACUUUCUGGACAGAUCCCUCGAGAACUAGGUUACCUUGAGAACUUAGGAGAGGUAGUACUUAGAGACAACACACUAACUGGUUCCAUCCCAAAUAGCAUAAGUAAUUUGACCAAACUCACAGAUUUGAACCUUUUCAGCAACCAACUUUCUGGACAAAUCCCUCGAGAACUAGGUUACCUUGAGAAGUUACGGUACUUGGAGCUUGAGAAUAACCAACUUUCUGGACACAUCCCUCAAGGACUAGGGUAUUUAGUCAACUUAGACUACUUGUAUCUUAGCUACAACACACUGACAGGUUCCAUCCCAGAAGACCUAGGCAAUCUCACACAACUCCGUUACUUGUACCUUGACAAUAACAAACUUUCCGGCCACAUUCCCCGAGAAUUAGGCUAUUCAGUCAACUUAGAUGACUUGUCUUUUAGAAAUAAUGCACUAUCAGGUCCCAUCCCAAGUAGCCUUGGCAAUCUGACAAAACUUUAUAAAUUAGACUUUGGGCAGAACCAACUUUCUGGGCAGAUUUCAUGUGGAUAGGUUGGUUGUUGAAUAUAAAGUACUUUUAGAGCUUAGUAACAACACACUUAACAGAUUUCAUCACAAACAGCCUAGACUAUCUUGUAGUAGAAUUAUGUUGACAAGAAGUAGAAGGUGCACCAUCCUCAUCGACCCCUGCUGCUGCUUCUCUCCCGCACGGGACCAAACCCCUGCGCCAGCUCCGCUGCCGUGGCACAAGCACCUCCUCACGGUGGCCGACUGCACCUGCUCCUCUCCUGCACUCGUCCUCCUCGCAGAAAAAAAGAAGGCCCACGCCCUCGCCGCUUGGUCACUUGACACCGGCGCGCUCACCAGCGACUAGGCCACCGUCGCCACGGCGUCUGCGCCAGUGGCCCUCGCCGCCUUCUUCGACUGCUGCACGACCCCUCUCGCCUGUGCCACCGAUGUCGUUGACCUGCUCUCAUGCGAGGACGCGCGCCUGGGCCGUCCCCAAAGUGCCCGUCGGGUCCAAGGACAGGGCCGACGUCGCCACCAACCUCAGGAGUGAGGAGGCUCCUACUAGGGUCCUCCAACCGCGCGGCCACCGGCGUCCCUACAGCGGUCUUGUUCUCCAAGGUGCCCGCCGUGCACGGGGCCUUCCGGGAUUCGGCAUGGGUACUGAAGCUCGGGAACCAAGGAGGAGACAUUGAUACUGAUGACACUGGUGCAACCUCAGUACUGCUCCCUGCACUUGUCCUAAACUGGAGUCCCUAUAGAGACUACAGGGUAAAGUGAAGAAAGCUACGGAGAGCAGUGAAGAGGAGGAGAUUCCCUAACGUUCCCAAGGUACUAUGAAUUAAUGAACCAUUUUGCACGGUCUGGUUACGUAUGUUGAGUAGAUUUCAGAAGCAUCUUGAACAAAUAGCCACUCAAUUUUGUAGGGCCUUUCUGUCGGAAUGAUUGUCAGAAAGCUCUUUUUACCGGUGCAGGUAGCUACCGGCGAAUCAUCCACCGCUCACAUGCGCAGUGAUUCGUGCUAUAGGGAGCCCACAGACAAUGUAUAGAUGUGUAUAAUAACAACCCAUCUCUUGUAUCUUAAUUAAUAGUCAAAUCAAUGUCAGAUGAAAGGGACCCAUGUCAACAAUAAAGUUGUACUUGACGCAUCCAUGGUCCGUUCUCUCUCCUCAUUCUCACGUACGGAAGAUGCAUCACAUGCCAGAGUAAUUCAUGCCCUUUAUUUUCUCUUUGGCAAUUUCAUUCAUUCAUAUAUUUUAAACUGCAACUUCAUUUUUGAAACAUUUUAUAUAUUUGAACUCCUGAUGCCAAGACCUUCAGAACAAGAUUAAUCUUGAAAACAUUCGAACAUCUUUUAGUUUCAACGUUUCAAAUGAGUGAAACAUGUUUUGUGGAAUACAUGAAAUAAGUAUUUGAGCGAACCCAAAAUUAUCAUUUACAAAUGAGAAAAAUCUAUUUUAUGAAGCGAGUGAAAUU